UUUUUUGACUAUAUUUACCUAGUGAAUGAGUAAUCUCAAAAUAAACGAUUGAAAUAAAAAUCUCAUAAAAAUAAUAACAAAAGACUUAAAUUUCAAAUCAGAAGUAUUGAUUUUGCUUUUGAUGGUAAGUAAAUCUUUUGUAUUAAAAUUGUACUUAAUUUGAAUUGUUUUAUACCAUUAAACUUACAAACUUGCCACAUCGGUCAUUAAAAAAGUCAUUUGUGAGCCAUUUUGAUUAAUUGGUAAAUGAUGUCGAAAAAUUAUAAAGUCUGGUUUCUAAAUAGUUCUAAUAGUGUGCAUCUUGCCUAAUAAAGGCGAUCGUUGAAUCAGACGUCCCAUUAUUGAAAACAACUUAAAGGUAUAAAAAUCUCUAUAUUUUUUAAAACAUAGUAGAGUAUAUAUAGUCCUAUGGGGAUACUUCUAAUAACACCAAUUACUUUGUGCUAUCAAGUUUUCCACCAUUUUUUUCUCAAAAAAAAAAGUUUUCCACUAUUUGAUUUACCCCUUGACUAAUUUCAUGCACCUCUUAGAUUAUAUUAUUCCACCAACCACCCACUAAAUCUAACCACUAUCAUUCUAACCCUACAAACCUUCAUCCAAAGGUCAAAAAACUAAUAGCACAAUGACUUUGUGCUAUUAAAAUUAUUUCAGCCCAAUUAUAUAUAUAGGUUUUUUUUUUUUUUUUUUUUUUUUAUUGGUNNNNNNNNNNNNNNNNNNNNNNNNNNNNNNNNNNNNNNNNNNNNNNNNNNNNNNNNNNNNNNNNNNNNNNNNNNNNNNNNNNNNNNNNNNNNNNNNNNNNNNNNNNNNNNNNNNNNNNNNNNNNNNNNNNNNNNNNNNNNNNNNNNNNNNNNNNNNNNNNNNNNNNNNNNNNNNNNNNNNNNNNNNNNNNNNNNNNNNNNNNNNNNNNNNNNNNNNNNNNNNNNNNNNNNNNNNNNNNNNNNNNNNNNNNNNNNNNNNNNNNNNNNNNNNNNNNNNNNNNNNNNNNNNNNNNNNNNNNNNNNNNNNNNNNNNNNNNNNNNNNNNNNNNNNNNNNNNNNNNNNNNNNNNNNNNNNNNNNNNNNNNNNNNNNNNNNNNNNNNNNNNNNNNNNNNNNNNNNNNNNNNNNNNNNNNNNNNNNNNNNNNNNNNNNNNNNNNNNNNNNNNNNNNNNNNNNNNNNNNNNNNNNNNNNNNNNNNNNNNNNNNNNNNNNNNNNNNNNNNNNNNNNNNNNNNNNNNNNNNNNNNNNNNNNNNNNNNNNNNNNNNNNNNNNNNNNNNNNNNNNNNNNNNNNNNNNNNNNNNNNNNNNNNNNNNNNNNNNNNNNNNNNNNNNNNNNNNNNNNNNNNNNNNNNNNNNNNNNNNNNNNNNNNNNNNNNNNNNNNNNNNNNNNNNNNNNNNNNNNNNNNNNNNNNNNNNNNNNNNNNNNNNNNNNNNNNNNNNNNNNNNNNNNNNNNNNNNNNNNNNNNNNNNNNNNNNNNNNNNUAUUAUAUAAAUUAUAAUAUAUAUAUAGUAUAUAUUAUAUUAUAUAAUAUAUAUUAUAUAUGUAAUUAUAUAUGACGGUUUUUUUUUUUUUUGAAGAGAUAGCUAGAUACACGCUAGUCUCGUUCGUUUAUUUUAUUUAGUAAAUAAAUAAAUAAGAAACUAGCUGGAUAUAACAGUGUUGAAUCGACUAGGAUUCGAACUUAGAACCUCGGGUACCAACGUCAUCAUAGCGCCUUUGUCGUACUUUUGUGCUAUGGAUUCUGGUCGUCCAAUUAUAAUUAUCUGUAUAUUAGCUUAAAUUGCAGAAAGCUUCACCUGAAAUUAUAUUAAAAAUCUAUAUUUUGUCUACCAUUUAAAUCAUUUUUAGGAAAUAUUUUUAGUGGGUAUGGCGUUAACAUCUUGAAAUAGUAAAUGACGUUAAAUGAUUUAUUCUUUACUUUUCUAUAAUAAAAUUUAAACUUUUUAAUAUAUUUCUGUCAUUUUUAAAUGAUAUUUUUUGGUAUAAAUUUAUAAAAAAAUAAAUAUGGAAUAGUGAUAUGUAACCCUUUGACUUGGAAAAACAUGCGAUGUAAAAUAUAUAAGAUUUUAAAAAUAGAUGAGCGAAUAAUAAAAAAAAAUAAUAUUCACGAAUUUUUUUUUUGUAAAUUUAGCUUUUAUAUAUAUAUUUAUAAUAUAUAUAUAAUUAUAUUAUAUUAAAUGUGAUCAGUGUGAAUUAAUCUUUCAUUUCUAUUUUCUACGUGUUGUGCUACGUAUCCUCUAAUUGAAUUAAGCAGGUUGAUUAAUCUCCUUUUAAUCUUUCCUGUGCUUGUAUCCUCUUGGUUAUUAAUUCUUUUCGGUCCAACCGUUGAGAAUGGUCGUCAACAAAACGCACCCACUCUCUAUUUAACUAUUCACCUGUGCAUUAUCGAUCCUCUACGCUUUUUACUGUUCAUUCCUUUGACUUAUAUUAAUUAAUUUCAUGGUAUUUUAUAAUAAUUAUAUUAAUAAUAGGUUAGUUUUAGUUUCGAGAUUUAUUAAUGUUUUAAUCAGAAGGUAUUCUUGUUGCUUGAUUCGAGUAGUGGCACAGAUAGACAUAAAUUAAUUAAUUUAUCCCUAAUAGUUUUCUUUCUGCGGAGUUAGAAUUGAAGAAUCUCAUUAUACUCUCAUAUCGAUGUUAGCUCCAACUGUCAUCAAUUUAAAAAACUUUAUGUAUUGUUUAAAUUUUAAUUGAUCUUAGUUAAUGCAUUGGCAAAAUUAUAUUUAAGCAUUUAAUUACCCACGCUAUCUAAUAGAAGCUUGUAUUAUUUUCUUCUAGAUUUUUUAAAAUAUGAAAUAAAAGGAUAUAAAUUAAUUGAGUUAUAAUAUAAAUGCAUGGCUAAUGGAAAAGAUUCAUAUAUAUUAUAAUAAUAUAGUAUAUAGUAUAUAAUAUAGAGUCCGGCUGGAUAAUCUAUCGAUUAUCACCAAGGGUUUGGUACUAUCUUCUUGAGUUUUCGCACCGUUAUAUUUAACCCUUUGAUUAUGUUUUUAUCCCGUUGAGACUUAUUAGCUAUUUCAGCCAACACUCUAGCCAACCCGAGAGAGCCAACAUCAUCUAACGUUAUAUUCUCAAUCACAAGGUGUUAAAAAAUUAUCAGUGCACCAAUUAAUCGUGGUGCGAUUGAUAUGUUAAUUUCUAGCCAAUCUAUAUAUAAUGUAACUAGGCUAUCUAUACUAUCGCUCGUGGCUAUCAAUUUUGUUUUUUUCGUAUGAUGUACGGCUUCCAAAUUGCUGAUGGCGGUCUCGUUAAUACUUGACUACACUAAUUAAAUUAUUUAGCAAAUCAAAUUUCAUAAUUUUAUUUCGAUAUCAUGUACCUAUUCAAAAAGUAGUUCUAAAUUGAAUCGGCUGAAAAUUAAAUAAUCCAUAAAAAUGAUGAAAAUCAGAAUUAAAUUCCAAUUGAUCAGAUGAAUACUGGAUUUUAUCUGCUAAAAAUAGUGAAAAAAUUUCUAUAAAAUUUUAUCGCAUUAUGGUAUUGUUUUACAUCUCGGUAAAGUUCACAACACAUCCUACAGUUUGGCCAUCUAUAAAUUAAUCUUAUUUGAGAUAUUGUUUGAUUCUACUUUAGUCAAUAUGAGUUCGAAAAAAUUUGAAAUUUAGUUCCAAUACUUUCAAUUUAGUGUAGAUCAAGUCUAACGGAGCCGAUCGUCGAUUUGGAAGCCGCAUCAUCAAAAACAACUUGGUAGCACGGAGCCCUUCGUGCUACCGAUAGUAUAGUAGCCAGACUCUCUCUCUCUCUCUCUCUCUCUCUCUCUCUCUCUCUCUCUCUCUCUCUCUCUCUCUCUCUCUAUAUAUAUAUAUAUAUAUAUAGAGAGAGAGAGAGAGAGUACUACUUUUGAGCUUUCAAAAGUACGGAAGCCUUCGUAUUUAUAAGUUAUUUUCGAUGAUAAAACAUUCGAUUCGACGAUCGGUUCCAUUAGGUAUAAUCUAUGCUAUUGGUACUAUUUAGAAACCAAAUUUCAUAAAUUUUUGACAUCAUUUAUUAAGUAAUCAAAAGGUCCCAAAAAUGACUAUUCUAACGGUCGAUGUGGCAUGCUUUUAAGUUUAGCAGUGUAGAACAAUCAAAAUUACAUAAAACUUUAAUAGAAAAUUCUACUUAAUAUCAAUAGUAAGAUCAAUUUAAAAAUUGAGUCUUUUAUUAGUCUUUUUUAUGCGAUUUUUAUUUUUAGUCAUUUAUUUUGAAGUUAUUCGUUCACUAGAUAAAUGAAGUUAAAAAAUUAUAAAAUUUAGUUUUUAGAUAGUUCUAAUAUAAUAAAUCAUGUCUAACGGAACCAAUCAUCAAAUCGGAUAUCUCAUCAUCGAAAAUAAUUUACAAGUACGGAGACCUCCCUACUUUCCAAAGUAUAGAAGCCUAGCUUUCUCUCUCUCUCUCUCUAUAUAUAUGUAUGUAUGUAUGUAUGUAUAGUGUAAAGCUAUUAUGCUAUCAAAAGUAUACGAGAGUUGAUGCUUUCGACUUUUUGAUUAUUUGAUCAAGAAUUGUAGGGUCAGGAUGAUAGUGGUACCUCUUAGGAUAGAGUGAUCUCUUCAGAAUAAUAAUAUUAAUCCAAUGGUUAGAGAUGGUCAAAGUGGUUGAUCCAAAGAUCAAAAAAUUGGAAACACCAACUGAUCCCAUAUACUUCCAUAUACUUCCUAAAGCAUAGUAGCUGUACUCUCUUUCUCUCAGGGAAAAAAGAAAAGAAAAUGUAGUUAAUUUGGACCUAGUAAUUUUUAUUUUCUUUAGUAUAUAUAAAUUAAUACGAUAAUUAUAACUAAGACUUUUUUCGAAUCUUUUUUGGAUAACAUCGAUCGUGUUAGAGCCCCACGCGUAAACUCCCAUCACUUUCUUUUCGAAAGUCCUAUGUUCGAUUUCUACACCUAAUUCAUCUUAUCUCUAUCGUGUAAUUAAACAGAGUUUUAUUAAUAUUAUUAUUUGCGUUAACUAUUAUUACUUAAAUCGAUUUUUUUUGGUAGCAGCUAUAACUCAAAUGUUCCACCCAUGCAUGUCCAUAAUUAGCUCAAUUUCCUAUAUAUUAUUUACUGUGGAGAAAAACAUUAAUUCGUAUUUCAUUAAUUCUUGUUCAUUUUGAGGAUACGCAUCAUCAUGCACGUGUGGUAAACAAAAUACUUUUAUUAAGAUUCAUUCAAUUACAUAAGUAAUAUAAAUAAUCAUCCAAAAGUUAUUUCUUUUUUCGAAAAAGAAACUCAUUGUUAUCAGGCGAACCAUACACACGCACAUGUACAUGAAUUACUGAUGAAUUAAUUAUGACAAUAAUAGAAAAGUUCCGUUAUAUUUAAAAGCAAAUUCAUCACUAAAAAAAAAAAAAACGAGAGGAGAAAAUAUUCCACAUUCAAAAGCUUGACUACGUUUUAGAGUUAUAAUCUCAAUUGACUAGGACUUCUAAAACCUAAUCCCUAAAUUUGGCGGGCUAACACUAUUUUAAGCUAGUGUUACUUAGUUGCUUAGCUUGGGAAACUACAUGGAAAUUGCACUAUGGACCAAAGAAAAAAGUAUCACUGGCUAAGAAAUUGACUAUUCUAUUAUUUAUUUCCUAGUCAAUGUAGAAUUGGUAAAAUAAGGCUUAUGCAUAUAUAGCUGAACCUGGGCUUGAAGAUUAAGUUAUCUUGUCACAGAUUAGGUAGGAAGAUAUAUUAGUUAAAUAAAAUUGAUUUUGCACAGAGCCUAAACAUUAAGGGGUCGUUCAGAAGCGGAAAGUGGAGGGCGAUGUAAAAUUUGUGAGUUUCGUAAGCUCGACUUUAUCUCCUAUCCCAUCAAAGUCAAAAGGCAUCUCAGUAUAAUUUAUGAGUUAGAAUUUGGACGAUUUUUUAACUUCUAUGUUGAAAUAAAUGUCCGUACUGAUGAUAUUUUUAUAGUCACAAAUUCAACCUUCAAUGUCGACGAAAAUAAAGAGACCUUAACAGAUCUUAACUUAUUGUUGUUCCUUGCCAAAACAGGACAAAAAAGGUAACCGUACAUUGAAAUUAAUUUACUUCUAUUUAGGAUGAGACACAAUUCAAAACAACUCAAAAUACAUUUGGAUUAUCGGGUUUGGAUCUAAUCUGGCCCGAUCCGACUUGUCUGGCCGACCCAACCCAACUAUUGUGGGUUGUGACUUCCAAAAUAAAGGCCCAAACAUAUUUUGUCCCCUGAUGUUAACUUAUUCGCCGAUAAAGUUUUUUUUUUUUAUGUGAUUGUAAGUUAGGAGUUUAAUUUUAAUUCGAUAACACUUGUAUCUGAUUUGGAGAUAUUUUCGUCCACCAAAUACUCUAAGUUUCUUAAACACUUCUCGUCCACCAAAUACUCUAAGUUUCUAGAUGUAAUAUUAGAUAUCUCAUCAUCGAAAACACUGCAUCUAGAUGUAAUAUUAGAUAUUUAAUCACUUCUCGUCCACCAAAUACUCUAAGUUUCUUAAGUUUUUUUUUUUUUUUUUUUUUUUUUUGAGUGAGAAACAUAAUAAACUACGUGCUGAUUUUUUUUUUUAAUAUACUCAACUAAAAAUAUGAAACAACUAAACUUGGAAGUUGAAAUUUAGGAUACUACCUAGUAAGCUCUUAGCCAACUACACAAAGGACGUCAGUUUCUUGAGUAAAAAUUAUUAUUUGCUUCUGAUUCAUCUAUUUGAUCAUUUUUACCAUUUCGUCAACUUUUAAUUCUCAUGCAGAUAUACAAAUGCAUUGCAAGUAGAUAAUUACUCGGUCUUUGAUUAAAAAUAGACAAAAACAUAUAAAAGUUAUCUGAACUAUGAAUCGUUUUGAGUCGACUAUCCAAUUUUUUAAAAUUUUGAUUUUAUUAUUCAACCUUUCAAUUUGUUUUAUUUGAAUCAGCCGAUAAUAGCUUAACUUCAAAAUUUAAUUGCAUUGUUUAUCUUUACAUCUUAGUUAGCAUUACUUUAUGCAAUUCUCACAGCUAUUGAUCCAUAGUUCAAAUAAAUUUCAUAUGUUUUUACCUUUAAAAAAAUAUGCAUAACAACUAAAAUGAAACCCUUAAUUAGGGAAAAAAAAAAUUAAUUGUUUCUAUAUCAAUGGAUGGAAUAGUUUCACUCUAAACAAUCAUAAUUUGAAAAAUAAAAAAGUUAUAUUUUAAAGCUUCAUAAGAUUAUAUACAAGAUAUGUAAUUAGUACUUUCGAUUAAAAAGAGAAAUUUAAUAAACUAUUCAAUAAAUUUAAAGAAUCUAAUUAUAAAAUUCAAAAGUUUAAGAAUCAAUUUACAAAAGUGCUAAAUUUUAGGAAGUUUAUUUUUUUAUACUGUUUUGAAAAUUUUUAAAGUUUUAAUUAUUAUUAAAUUUAAAUUUUUUUUUUUUUUAAUUCGCGCACAACUAUCUGAGACUCUUCUUCUUCCUCCUCCUCCUCCAUUCCCAUCUCAAGCAUGCACUAGAAUCCGAGCUCCGAAAUGCUCAGUAAUGGUGACGCGCCUACUCGCGUUCCCCCUCAAACCCUACUCUCCUCCUCCUCCUCCUCCUCCUCUGCCUACUCCCCCCUUUCCCUUCUCUCAGAGAUUCAAAAUCCCAUUUUCCUCCUCCCCGAGAUCCCAAUUACGCAAAUUCGCGGCGUACUCACAUGCCGAAUCUGCUGCAGAAUCGAAGUUUGAUGUCGAAUUUUCGAGAGAAUCGGAAAAGGAGGAGCUUUCCUGGGACCAAUUCAACUCCUUGAUCCAAGUCCACUGCUCGAAAGGCCACCUCGACGAGCCCUUGGAUCUCCUCGCCCGCAUGGAGGCGCUGGGCAUGCGCCCCGACCCCUCCUCCUACGCCUGCCUCAUCGACGCCCUCGGCCGCGUCGGCCGCACCCUCGAAGCCGACGCCAUCUUCCAGGAGAUGCGGCGCUUCGGCCUCCGCCCCGGCCCGGCGCACUACAAUUCGCUCCUCGGAGCGUUCCUGCGGAAGGGGCAACUGCACCUCGCCGACCACCUGCUUGUGGAAAUGCACGAGAGAGGCGUCGCAAGGAAGAGAGAGACCUUCUUGCUGCUCCUCGAUUCCUACGCGCACGCUGGGAGGCUAGAGGACAGUUGGUGGGUCCUUGCGGAGAUGAAGCGGCGGGGAAUUCGAUUGGAUACCUAUGUUUACAGCAAGGUGCUUGCGCUGUACAGGGAUAACGGCAUGUGGAAGAAGGCGAUGGCGCUCGUGAUGGAGAUGCAGGAGCUGGGGAUCAAGCCGGAUAGAAGGAUUUACAAUGGGAUGAUCGACACGUUUGGGAAAUACGGUCGGUUGGACGAUGUGGUGAAGGUGUUCGAUAAAAUGCUUGGGAGAGGGUUGAGGCCGGAUAUUGUGACUUGGAAUGCUUUGAUAAGGUGGCAUUGUAGGGCCGGGGACCUCAAGAAGGCGUUAGGGUUUUUUGCGAAGAUGCAGGAAGAGGGGUUGUACCCGGAUCCGAAGAUUUUUAUUACAAUUAUUAGCCGGUUGGGGGAGGAGGGAAAGUGGGGUGAGAUCAAGAGACUGUUUGAGGGGAUGAAACUUAAAGGUCUUAGGAAAAGUGGGGUCAUUUAUGCAAUCUUAGUUGAUAUUUACGGGCAGUAUGGGCAGUUUAGGGAUGCCGAGGAUUGUGUAGCUGCUCUUAAGGCGGAAGGUCUCCAGCUUUCGGCCAGCGUCUUUUGUGUACUCGCAAAUGCUUAUGCUCAGCAAGUAAGUUUAUGUGGUCAGCAAGUGAAUGAGAUUGGUAUUUCUGCUUAUGAGGUGGUUGUGAUAUCGAUAAUAGUAGAUUUUUUUAUACUUGAAAACAGUAUAGUUUGCUUUAGACCAGAGAAGUAGCAUUGUCGUUCGUUAUUAGCUAACAUCUUCAUUAGAUUGGAAAAAGCCCUUUCAUUUUCUUUGGAUGGUAAUAUAACUCCCUAAAAAGGUUAUCCGUAAAUAAGCUUAGAAUAAGUAACUUAUUCUAAGAAGAAAGGGUUAAGAUUAGUAAAGGCUAGUAGUUUUAAGCAUUAAACUAGACAAAUUUGUUGUCUAUGCAAUGUGUAGUUUUGAUAUAUUGGUUUUUUUGUGUAGCUCCCUAGAUAAGUUUAGCUCGCCGAAGUAGAGCCCUUAUCAGUCCAAGCAUUUAGGCCAAGGUUAGCUCAAACUGGAUUGAAUCUUUUGAUCAAAAAAAUUUUCACCAGAGAAUCAAGUAAUCCUGGCUCUUUUUUAUGUUGAGCAGUAUUUGAAUCAACGGUUAACUGUUAACUCCACUUAUCAGCCCGAUUGGAGCAGUAGUCAUCUUGGUCUUGAUCUUUAUUAAUUUCCGGGCAGCUUUUAGCCUUACUUCUGUACAUGUUCUCUGAUGCAUUAUGCCUCUGCCUUUUCGUCUCUACUCUUCUAUGCUUCUGUUGUAUUCUUUUACUUUGAAGACAACAUAACAUCUGGUAACUCGGUUUCAGGGUUUGUGUGAGCAAACAGUAAAAGUAUUUAGAUUAAUGGAGGAAGAAGGUAUUGAACCAAACCUUAUAAUGCUCAAUUUGUUAAUCAAUGCGUUCGGUAUUGCUGGAAGGCAUUUAGAGGCAGUAGCAGUAUUUGAACAUAUCAAGGACAGUGUAAGUAGCAUCUCUGGUAGGAAAACGAAUUGCUGUAUCUGUUUUUCUCUUAGAAUUUUUGUUUACUUACUAUCAACUCAAAUUUUAUCUGCCUCAUUACUACUUACAGGGUAUCAGUCCAGAUGUGGUUACGUACAGUACUCUCAUGAAAGCAUUCAUGAGAGCAAGACAAUAUGAAAAGGUUCUCUUCCUUUACUGCAUCAACUAACUUGUUUGUCGUAAAUCUAGAUUAGAUUAAUCAUUCUCUUGGGUUCUGUGACUUCUGUCAAUUUGCGACAGAUACAUCUUUCUCCAUGUAUAUGCAUUUAGAUUACAAUUUAAAAAGAUUUUUGUGCUUUACAUAUAGAUAAUUUAGUAAAUAGAAAUAGUGGUGGGAACUUUUAUAUAAGCCUUGAUCUUUGUUGACCUUUAUUACGCUUUGAUAUGGUUGAAUUGGUUAUAUUGGGAACUUACAUUAAAAAUGUGAGGACUUACAUUCUUCUUUUUUUCUUUGGUGUGGGCUUGAUCAGGUCUUAGGAAUAUACAAGGAAAUGGAGAGUGCUGGAUGUACCCCAGACAGAAAAGCUAGGGAGAUUCUGCAGAAUGCCUCAAUCAUACUACAACAACGAGGAUGUAAGUGCUUCAUAUGCUGUCUUGUUUUUCUGCUCGCGGGGAUCCGGUCAUUUAGCUUUACUGUUGUUUUCAUCACAGGCAGUUUAGUUGGUUGAAGUUCGAAACCUCUUCAGAUUCUGAGGCAUUACAAUGUUUUUCCAAAUAACAAGACAGGUAAGCGCCAUCUUUUUCUGCUUUAUCAUAGACGUGCUUCGUGAUGGAUAAUCCUUCCCAGGAAAAUACACUUAACAUAUCAAGAGUUUGUCUUUGUGCAUCUUAUAUUUUAUAUCCGCUAGGGCAUUCCUUUGGUGCAACAAUUGUUCCACUGCUUCUCAUUCUAGUUCUCUAAAAUUUUAUAACGUGUAUUCAGCGAUCUUUCAUCUGUCUUACUUUAUAAGUGCUCCUCUUACCCGGACUCCUUUUCUAAAUGAGAUAAUUAACAGUCCUUAGCUUUGCGGUGACAGAAAUUGGAAGCAAUUAAACACUUUCCGAGCAAAGCAACCUCCAAUUCUGCAAAGAAAGGAUCCCAAUUGAUGUGGUAGUUAAUCCGCGGAGUUAUCAGAUGUUACAAACUGCAUAACAUCAUUAAAAUUUCUGGAAAAGUAUGAGUGGUUCUGCGAAUGUUUGAGAAGGUAUACUAAGUAGUAUGAUACUUUAGCAUCUUUCUUAGCUGAUUUUAUGUCGUAUUCGAGUUCUGUAACGUGCUUCCUAUGUCUUACUCGUUCUUGUAUUUUGUGCUUCUUUUUUCUUCAGGAACUAUUUGGCACCUGCUUUGGGGAAUACAAAUAUUUGUGAACAAGAAAUAGGAAAAAUAGCAUGCAGAGCCUUAUAUAAAGAGGAGGAAUAUGCGAAACGCGAUUCCUGGUUCGCUAGAAGCUUAUAUGGAGGAACAUAAAAUUGAAUGUAAAAUCGUGGAAGUUUUGAGAUAAUUUCUAUAACUUUUUCUGAUGUUUAUAUGUAAUAAUGUGUCUUAAGUUUAUGCUGAGGGUUGUUCCUCGUAAAGAGUAUGCAUUGUGCGAUAAUUUCAGCAUCUGUGCUCCUAUUGUUAGCAUUUGUAAAACUUUGGUUAUCUUGUGUUGAAGAUGGGCCUGAUUGGAUUAGUUUAUUCGGAUUGUAUGAGAUUAUACGGAAUCAAAAAGUUGUUGAGAAAAUGGAGUAAGGUUUUAAAAGUUCGGCAAACGAGUCAAAUACGAGCUAAAUUUUUCAGCUCGUUUAAUAAACGAGUCGAACACGAGCUGGGAUGAACUCACUCGUGUUUGGCUCGAUAACAGCUUGACUAUAUAUAUUUUACAUUUAUAUAUGUAAAUAAAAUAAUUAGUUUUUAGCUUAAUUUAAAUAUAAAGCCCAACUUAAUUAUAAAAAGUUUAUUUAUAUGUAAAGUUUUAACUAUUAGAUCAAAGUGAAAUAGGUAAGAUUUUAUAAAUUUAUUUUCUAUAUGUAUCUUUUAUAAUUUUUUUAACUUGUUGUUCAUGAGCCAGCUCCUGUUCGACGUGAUACUUUAACAAGCCAAUUCGUGUUCGGUUUGUUUAUGAAAUGAGUCGGCCUCAACUCGCUCGUGUUCGGCUUGUUGACACCCCUAGUCCCCCCACAACGUCUCACACCCAUAUAAUACCCAAUCUCCCUCUCAUUCUCUCUCUACCACUCUUUUUUAUUAGGAUUAUGCUACUUUUCCCUCCAAUUCAAACCUCCCUCUCUUUUACCUCCUCAUCUAUGAAGAACACGGCAUUCUCUCCUCCUCCACCGCCGACUUCUCUCUACCCCACCCCUCACCACCAUCACCACCACCUCCUCCUCCUCUUCCCUCAACCCCCUUCAAUCCCCCACCACCUCUUCCUCAAAACCUACAAUCCCCACCCUCUCCGCCACCGCUCACCCCGUCCCCUCUCCGCCGCCUCCGACAAGGUAUAGCCGUCGAAACUUUGUAAUCCGAACUCUCAUAUGCAUAAUUCUCUCUCCUCCUUAUUCUUCAUUAGGCCUCAGAGCUCCAUCAAUGGGAUUCGAUGACUGCGCGCUUCGCCGCCGCCUCCAACGUCCCCUUCCUCCUCAUCCAGCUCCCGCAGAUCCUGCUCAAUGCCCGCAACCUCCUGUCCGGCAACCGCGCCGCCCUCCUCGCCGUCCCCUGGCUUGUAAAUCCCCCUCCCGAAUCCAACUCAAGCGCUUUCUCGAAAAGCUGCUGAAUUUGUUGCUGCUGCUGCUGCUGCAGGGGAUGCUCACAGGGCUUCUGGGGAACCUGACCCUGCUCUCCUACUUUGCGAAGAAGAGGGAGAGCGAGGCUAUCGUCGUCCAGACGCUCGGCGUCGUCUCCAUCUUCGUGGUCUUGGCACAGUUAGCCGCAGCAGGGGCCAUGGCGCGGCCCGUCUUCUCGGCGAUCUCCGCGGUCGUGUUACUCGGCCUCGUGCUGAAUUUCAUGAACUAUUUCGGUAGGCUCGAUUCCGGGCUCUGGCUACUCUGGGAGGACUUCAUCACUGUCUCGGGCUUAUCCGUGCUCCCGCAGGUCGGCUUUAUCCUCUUUCGGAUUGGAUUGGUUGGAAAGGUUGUGUUUUUAUUGCGUGAUCGAAAAAUUGCAGGUAAUGUGGUCGACGUUUGUUCCCAGUAUCCCGAAUAGUAUAUUGCCGGGGAUCGUAUCUUGUACCGUUGGAGUUGCGGUUGUCGCCAUGGUAGGUCUUUUAUACCAUACCAACUAGUUAUCUUAGCUACUGAUUUGGGCAAAAAGAGAAAUGUUUUGAUGUUUUUCGCAUUCGGUAAUUACAUGCGUAAGAGCCACUGUAACCAGGUUUAAUACUAUGAUAAGCACUUUUAUUAUCCUUUCCGACAUAUUCGUGUUCAUCUGUAGUGCGGAAUUUUAAGGAUUUUCCAAUGUCUUUUUGUUUCGGUUCCAUUAUAUUGCUUCUUGUCGAGCCUAUAGCGACAAAUGAAUUCGAAAUCAUCAUAACAAGUUGACCUCGAACUGCAUUUCUAGAUCUCAUUUACGAAGUUUAAUGUGGUUCUUCUUCUUCUUUAGCGCUGUUUAUCUGUACUGUCGAACAUCUCUACGUGUCUGUCGAAAAUUUCUGAUUUUGCAGGCACGGAUAGGUAAACUUCCCGAGGAUUGGGUGAAGUUUGUCAGGUCGAUAUCUGGCUGGACCGCCACAUUACUGUUCAUGUGGAUGCCUAUUGCGCAGAUGGUGCGAAACUGAUUCGCUUCGAUUCAUUAAACUCUGUAAAUCAUGGUUCUGAAACAUUGCUGUAAUAACCGAGCUGUGUUAUCAUGGACAGUGGACAACCUAUCUCAAUCCGGACAACAUCAAGGGCUUAUCGGCUCUUACAAUACUGCUCGGCAUGAUCGGGAACGCUCUCAUGAUCCCGCGUGCUCUAUUCAUCCGUGAUCUUAUGUGGUAUGUUGGGUCACCCGAAGAAUGUAAUCUUUUUUGAAGUUAGCUUGAUUUAUUUUCAUUUCCUGUUUCAACUGGGAACGAAGUAUCGGACAUUCGCGCCUUUUUCAGGUGCCUAAUGUCAAAAGAUUUAUGCAUUCUUCGUCUCUGCAGGUUCACAGGUGCAUCUUGGGCAUCAAUCCUUCAUGGUUGGGGAAAUUUGGCCUGCAUGUAUUUGUUAGUUCUCUUGGAUUAAAAAAAAACUCUUUUUCGGAUCUAUAUUUUCUUCAACAAAGUUUGGCAUUCCUUUUUCUGAACUUACUGCUUCUGUUCUCACAGUUUCGACAGUAUAAGCAGCGCCUUUUUCUUCCCAGCAACACUCAGCUUAUUCUUAUGGAUAGGUAUUCCUCUUUACAUUAGUUUUCGGUUGCAGUUUUAUAAUGAUCACUCAGAUUAUCUAUCACAAUUACUCGAAUGAAGAGCACAUUUGUCAUUGUAAAUCCAGUUGUAUGAUCCCUGUUACAGCUUAUGGAUUUCGAAAAACCUACUUUUAGGUACUGAUGAAAGAGUAAAAUGUGCUGACACUCUAAAUUUGGUUGAAGAUAAAUAGAAGAUGCUGCAAAACAUUUGUUAUGGUUGUGGUUUUUGCUUUAGCGACGUAAUUAGCAUUCUGUCUCUCAAUCAGGAGCUGCUCUCUGGAGAGAUACCGCAGUCUACGGAUACAAUACACCAUUGAAAUCCUUAAGAGAACUUGCUUUCGGACGAUGACGAGCAAGAAAUUUUCACGGUAAUAAUUCUUUGUAUAUGAAUCUCCUAUUGCCACAAUCGUUUCUCUGCUGUCGACCAAUUUAACUAUUCUUUGGCAUGCUGACAGGCAAACUAUCCUUUCCGAUUCAAUUGUGAAACCUCCAUGAGCUGUAAAUAGUUCUGCUGAUUGCUGGCUCUGAAGGUAUUCCAUCAGAUACAGGCCAUUUCCUUCAUAAGCAUCACUUUAUGUUCGAUAGAUUCUUACGGUGCGACGGCGUCUACUUCCAUUAAUUUAGUUGGUAUCUCAUAGACUUACAUGCGACCAUAGGCUUUAAAACUAGAAUACAUAUGUUCAAGCAUUAGCAGAUCAUUCACCAACUGACAAUUUGGCAAAAAAGUAAAAAACAGAACAGCGAAUAGUAGUAGAGAAGAUAUUAGUUUUUAACCGGCAAACUCUUUUGUACCAAUACUUAGGCCAAACAUUACUUGCAGUUUCCUCGAUAGAUACCGCUUCUUAUAUGCUCUUCGGGAUGAUUAUUAUCCUUUUUUAUACUCAUAGUUCGGUCUAUACAUGAUUGAAUGCACCGUUUCUCGGUAUUUCAUUCAUAUUCCAUGUUAAUUACCAUCUCUACUACUUGUGCUUUCAGGUAAUUGUGUACAGGUAAACCCCAGUGGCUGAUACGCAGUUUAAUUGUAGCAAGAACUUGAAGAUACUUAGCAGGAGCUAAUGAAAUAUUUCUACAGAACAUGUUUCUCUGGCAUUGUUCAACAAUGCAAAGUUCCUUCCUUCAGAAAGAAAAGCAAAUGUUCCAAAUUCUUGAUGAGUAGGAGAGUACCUUUUUUUUAAUUCUUCUUGCUGCAAUUUUUUUAGGCUGCGUGUUUAAUAAUCAGCAAUGGAAUUGUACAGUACUGCAGAAAUAUGAUCUACUCUUUAGUAACUUUACCAUGGUUUCUGCCAUGUUUGUCGUUCUUAAAUUGUGUUGCUAAAAACAAGAGCAAGACCAAUAUUUUGCAAGUGACCGAGUAAAUAGCAAAUCACAAAAAACAAGAUAAAUAUUACGACUAUGAUCGGAUAUCAAACUUUAAGUUCUUCGUGCUAUUCUUAUUCUUUCAUGCAGUGGUAUGAGAAGCCUGUGAUCUGCCACUCAACAUCUUUGUACAUUAGACUUGAAGAUAUGAUAAAUUUCAGAUGAUGCAAUUGAAUUAGAGGCAAGCUCAUUGUCUAUUGCUUGUUCAGAUAAACAAAUGGUGAGAAGAUGAGAGGUGGUUUCCAUUCCAGCAGCAGAUAAGGAUUAAACUUGUGGUGGUGAAGAAAGGGAUCUUUGAAUGGAUGAUUACACCAGAAAUGUCAGAUAUCUCACAGUCACAGGAACUUAUUCGACGGCAACAGUAUAAACUACUCUUCACAUCAGAUUUUUCCUCCUCUUUUGUUUCAGGUUUUCUAUCACUAGAGUUGAGAUGGUACCACAAAAUGUUCAAAUUUGCUAAUUUAAAGGCUCCCAGAUGCUAGCCCCCUACAUCCAACAAAAGAGAAGAGGAGGCAAUAAUUUAAAUUCUUGUACACUACAUGAUGGCUUCUACUUCCCAUUUAAAGCUACUACAAAAACACAACAUUUCAUCAUCACAAAUUACAAGAAGCAAAAUAUAUAACAACAAGAUGUAGCAUAAUUAGCAACAUUGCUGUAAAUAUUCAUUCACAAUAUAUAGAUUCAUCAGACACAUUCUUGCAUCUCAUUUCAAGGAAAAAGUAACAAAAUUCACAUCUUUGUAUGUGAGACAAUUACUAUAUAGCCUUAAGAAAACAAGAAAGAAUUUUUAGGGAAAAGAAAAAUGAAAACCUGGAGUUGAUUAUAUCUUGCGAAAUUGUUGCUGAAUCCAAUCCAAGACAACUACUUGAACAGCUCUUCUUCAUCUUCAUCACUCAGCAGCUCAUCAUCAUCAUCAUCAUCAUCAAUGGCGAAGGUGCUCAUCCUCGCCGACGCCUGCUUCGCCAGGCGCACAAUCUUCGCAGCCUCGCUCCGCGCCUUCGCCUGCUCCUGCAGCGCCUUCUUCAGCUUCCGCCUCUGCUCCUUCAAUUCUGCGACGAUCCUGUCGUUGCUCUCCCAAUCCCCAAUCCCCAAAUCCCCCGUCCCUUUGCCGCCGCCGCCGCCGCCGCUCCUCUGCGACGACGCCGCCGACUUCUUGGGCGAGAACGCGAAGCAGCACAUCGAUGUGUGGCGCCGUGAUGGCGAGGGGGAGAGGGAAGGGGAGGCUCCGCCUCUCCGCGAGCUCCGCAGCGUGAUCGGAGGGGGCGGAGAGAGCCCGGAUGGGGAAUUUGGCUUCGAACUCUUCCCUGCGACAACAGUAGGAUCUGUCCCCGUAGAAGUCGACGUCUUGGGCUCAACUGGCUAGGGGGUGCUGCGGCGCUCCUGGUUCGAUGGAGGGGCGACGGUGAGCCAUUGUUGGCGACGAGGAAGGAUUUGAGGGCACGGAAGCGGGGCUCGAGGUGGGAGAGGAGGAGGGCAGAGUNCGGCGGCGCGCCAUUGUGGGCGGCGGGGAAGGAUUUGAGGGAGCGGAAGCGGGACUCGAGGUGGGAGGGGAGGAGGGCGGAGUCGCGGGGGAGGUGGGCGGUGUUGAGCGCGGCGAUAUGCUCGAGGGCGCAGAGGUCCAUGGCCUCGGCGAUAAUGGCGUCCACUGCGGCCGAGGUACCGCCGCUCGCCGGAGGAGAUGGGAGGUGGGAGAAGGGGGAGGAGGAAGAGGACGACGCCAUUGAUGGGGACGGGUGCGGAGGGGGAGGGGUUUAGGGUUUGUUGAGAAUUUAAUGUGGGGACGAAGAAAAGGAAAGAAGGGAAGUGACGAGAAUUAGAAAGUGUUUUUGGUGUGUAAGAGAGAAACGAACGGCUACAAAGGGAGGGGAAAUAUACUAAUAUUGUAAUAAUACCUGCUACGGGUACGCAAAAAUGUUGCUUGAAAUAUUUAGUUUGGUAUAUAUUUUUAAUUUACUUAAAAAAAAAUUUGUAGCAUGUUCAACGACACAGAAUAUAAUCAAUCGUAUAAAAUAUCAUAUCAUAUCGAAUUUUCAAGUUAUCUUUUCAAAUAUAUAUACUAUUAUUUUAUUAAAUUAUGAAUGUGAGAAAACCAUAUAUUAUAUUUUGGUCUCUAAUCUUUUAUAAUUUGAUUUAGUUUGGCCCCAAUCAUCCAAAUUCUUGUUGUUUUCAAUUGAAUAUAGGCUAUAACUUCAGUAAAGUCCUACCAACUCAUAUUAAUUAUGGCUAUGAUCUCUCACGGUGAUCCUGACAUCACCUUUUUUAAAGUUUUUGAAAGAACAUACUGAUACAUUUAAUUCUGUGCCAGAAAAAUCAACGUCGGAUUAUUGAUGCUAACUAUUAAUUUCAAAAGCUCGAGUUAUUCAAAAGAAACAGUCAAUUCAUUUAAGAGUGUACAAUAUAUCGUCCACAAAUUUUGAUUUGAAAGUCGACCUACUUCGACCUCGGCCAGAUAACCCACAUGCCUUCUGACUCUAUCCAACUCGGCCUUCACCUCCUGUACAAAUUUGUAGCAUGCGGAAAUAAAAUUCGUGAGCUGCUUUGAUACUAUUUGUUGAAUAUUUAGCAUUAAUCAUGCAGCAAUUCACUUAAAUUGUACAAACAUAGUGGCCAUAAAUCUCGAUUUAUAAUUUGACCGACUCCAGCCUCACUCCAGACUAAGUCGCGUGGCUCGCAGGCUUUUCGUUAGGACUCUGCCCAACUCGGCCUCCCUCCACAUGACAUAAUAUUAGCCUCGCUAAGUUAACUGUCAGAUGGUUUAGAGAACCGUAGGUGCGGAGGACGAGAUUAGAGUAUGGUCCAAACUCCAAACUAGGUUUGAUGAGAAGAGGCUAAUUAUAAGAAUCCACAAAGCGCAAAAGAAGGGAAAAGGGUGGUGGUAAUGGUGCAAUUAAUUCAGUAGGUUAUAACUAAACUUUAAUUAUAAGCACAACAUUCUUGGUACGCGCAGCAGUACUACAACUAACAUCUAUAAUAACAAUAAAUUAAUAUUUAAUGCGGCUUCGCCAGGGGCUUUGCUAUUGGCUGCUCUUUUGACCGUUGGAGUAGAGAGAGAGAGAGAGAGUAAGAAGAUGCUCUCUCUCUCUCUCUCUCUCUCUCUCUCUCUUUCUCUCUCGUCCUUUCUCGCACACCAACUCGUGUUUUUCACAAAAAGAGGGAAAAAAGAAAACAGACACGCUCCGCUGCGUUGUUUGUUGGCUUCGUACGGCGAAGGGUGCGCGCGUAGUAAAUUGAAAUUGAUGUCACGCCACACGCCGACACUUCAGAGGGAAGCUUUUUAUGCCACCUGAACAAUCGCUUUAACGGUCGGGACGUGCCCUGUCAUUAGUCUUCUUCUAACGAGCUGUUUUCAUAAUUUUUUUUAUUUUUAUUUUUAUUUUUAUUUUUUUUUUUUUCCAUUCUNNNNNNNNNNNNNNNNNNNNNNNNUUAUUAAUAUAUAUAUAUAAUUAGGCUGAAAUAUUAUUAAUAACACAAAGCUAUUUAUGCUAUUAAGUUUUCGCCCUUUAGAUGAAUAAAUAUACAUUUAGGAUGAUGUAGGCUCCUUAAGGAGUUAAGGUUGAGUAAGUUAUUGAUUUAAUAGUAUAAUUUAACGGGUAAAAAUAGUCAAAGGAUUAAAUCUAACGUCGGAAAACUUGAUAACACCAAAUGCUUUGUACUAUCGAUAGUAUCUUAGCCGGACUCUAUAUAUAUAGGAAAAACUUCAAAUACCCCCCUUGUGGUUUUUUUCACUUUAGUACCCUAUGGUUUAAUGUGUAUCAAGUUAGUAUUCUGUGGUUUUGUACUUUUUCACUUUAGUACCCUGUGAUUUAAAGUAUAUCAAGUUAGUACCCUGUGGUUUCGCACUUAUCACUUUAGUACCCUGUGGUUUCGCACUUUAUCACUUUAGUACCAUGUGCUUUAAAAACCACAGAGUACUAACUUGAUACAAAAAAAAAACCACAGGGUACUAACUUGAUACAAAAAUAAAACCAAAGAGUACUAACUUGAUACACUUUAAACAACAGGGUACUAAAGUGAUAAAGUGAGAAAUCACAGAGUACUAACUUAACACACUUUAAAUCACAGGGUACUAAAAUAAAAAAGUAUGAAACCAUAGGGGGUUUUUGAAGUUUUCACAUAUAUAUAUAUAGAGAGAGAGAGAGAGAGAGAGAGAGAGAGAGAGAGAGCGCCAAGCAUAAUACUUUCGAAAAUAUAAAGAAGUUGAUACUUUCAAGUUUUUAACCCUUUCAUCAAUUUUUUUAAUUAUUUAUAAUUUUUGAAUUAAUAUUAUACUCACAUAAGGACUACUAAAUUUUAUGGGAAUCUCUCAAACCUAGAAGGGAUCACUAUUAUCUCAAUCGUAUAGUUGUUGAUCUAAGGACUAAAAAAUUAAAAGCUCCAACUUUUAUAUACUUCUGAAAGUAUAAUAACUCCACUCUCUCUCUCUCUCUCUCUCUCUCUCUCUCUAUAUAUAUAUAUAUAUAUGACACAACAAAUGAAGGCAUAUGUUUUUUAUGUCGCACUUGCACCACAUCACUCAUAUCACAAGCCAAUUAAAUCUUUUCUUCCCAAGGAAAAAUAUAAUAAUUUUUUUUAAAAAAAAAUUGUGGUAGAAUGGGCGAAUCCUAGGGACAUAAUUUGAUUGAUUCCAAACAUAGAUAACAUGGUGCAAUUGCAACAUCCUAAACUUUUUCUUAGGAGCGUAAUUUGAUUAGUUGGGAACACAAUAAUGUGGUGCUAUUGCCACAUUUCAGAUAUUUUCCUCAGAAAAAAGUUGCAACUAAAAAAAUGAUUCUAACAGGACUCGGAAUUAGAAUUUCCUAUUGUCAUUAUUCGAUAGCUUAAGCUACUAAAGAACUAUAUAUGUUUUUAACACUAAGUUCCAUUGCUACACUCUUAUAAGUAUGAUCGCCUCCGUAAAUAUAAGUCAUUUUCGAUGAUAGAGUUUUCGAAUCAACGCUCCGUAUCGUUAAAUAUUAUCUAAAUCAUUUAAAACUUUUAAAAACUAAAUUUCAUAAUUCUUCGAUAUUAUUUACCUUACAAUCAAAAGAUAUAAAAGUUGACAAUUUUUAAUAGCCAGCAUAGAAUAGUUGCUAGUUUAACGAUAUAAAAGAAUCAAAAUCGAUUGAAUUUUUGAUAGAAAAUUUUAUUCACUAUCUAGAUAAAGAAGAAUAAAUCCAAUCUUAAAUAAAAGAAUCCGAUUUUUUAAUUUUAGGAGGUCGUUUGAUUUCGACCGUGUAUUUUAUACCCACCUGAUAGAUUUUAUUAUAAUUUUAAAAAGAGUAAUGCUUCUAUAUUUUUUUUUUUCGUUACCGUUCAUUCACUCUCAUUGAACGAUUCAUAUUUAAUUUUUUAAAAAUUGUGACCUGCAAUAGCAGGUUACUUUGGGAGUGGUACCAAUUACGACUUACGAGGUACCUAAAAAAAGAAUAUUUUUGUCUUUUAACACCUGAGUAAUUUAGUAAUUUUAUCUCUACUAUAUUGUCAAAACUUUUAUUCUCUCUUUGUUUCUUUUUUCUCUCUCUAUCUUUCCUCUCAUAUUUUGGCAUUUCAUAUAAGAAAAGUUUCAAAUUAUUUGACAACAAGAACAUGAGAUUGUUUUGCAGACCAACUAUGGAUUUUGUCUAUACUCAUCUUGAAUUCGACCCGAAUCAUAUAUAAAGUUUAAUAUUAUAUUCAAAUUUAUAUUUUAAAAUUUUAAAUUUAAUAUAAAAUAUUUUGAAAUAUGGUAAAGAGAAAUAAUUGUUUUGGGUUCUGGUUUUCGGAUUUGGGUUUGCUCUUGGGUUCCGGAAAAUUUGUAGUUUUUUGCGAUUGUUAGUUGGGCUCAAAUUCAAAUUUCUAACCAUUUUUUUUUUCUGAACAGUAAUCCAAAUCUUUUUAAUUUUUAUGUUUAAAAUUAUGUUUAAAAUAUUUAUUAGUUCUAACAGUUAAAAUGUCAUUCGGUUUAAAAUGUUUAUUAUCUUUAACGGUUAUAGAUUGUUCUUCUUAUUCAGUUUAAUAGGUUGAAAUCAGAUUUUUGAUAGAGUAGUUUAAAGUCUGAUUGGUCGAAUCAAUCGAUUCAAUCUGAUUUUUAAAUCAUUUAUACUAAUUUAAUUAAAAUGAAUAAUAAAUGUUAUGAAGCUAAUUGUAAACCAAAAGGUAAUAGACUAAAAUUUAAAAUCAAUUUAAUAAAUUAAAUUAAUUGGACUGAUCAAAUUGAUAAAAUAUACAAAUAGCCUAGAUUUGUUCAAGAUAAAUUUAUUUAAUUUAUCGAUAUUUCUAAUUUUGUUUACUCUAGUAAAAUUCUAUGGUGGAGAUUUAUUAUAAGCUUAAAAUUUAAAUUAUACAGUCUAAAUUUAUUUAUUGGUAAUUUUAAAUUGCACUACACUAUUUAAAUUUAUUGGAGGUUUUUAUUUACUUUUUAGGUUCUAAACUUUAAAUUUUAUUUGUUUUCAGAUUAUAUUUUAAAUUACAAUACAUGAUCUUAUUAUUUUAAAAGAUCAAUUUUUACUAUUAAAAUUUGAAUUAAUUUUGUCCAUACAAAUCUAUUCUAAGAAUAAAUUUGAAUUAUACCCUAUAUUUCUAAUCAAUUAUCCACAUUAAAUUAUUUAAAUAGUGAUAAAGAAUUAAUAUAUAAAUUGGAAAAAUUCUUAAACUUUUUUAAACAUAUUAAAUGUGUUGAAUUUAAAUAUUUGCCCAUAUUUAAUUUUUUAAAAUUAGUGAUACAAAAUUAAUGUCUAAGAUGGAUUUAUAAUUUUGUUAAACAUAUUAAAUAUGUUAAAUUUAAAUAUUUAUCAACAUAAAUUUUUUUUAAAUAGUGAUACAAAAUUAAUAUCUAAAGUAGAACAAUUCCAAUUUUUUUAACAUAUUGAUUACAAAUUUUUUAAAUAGUAAUACAAAAUUCCUCUUAACUUAAAUUUCAAUUUUUUAAUUUUAAAUAUUUAGUAUUUAAUAUUUAAAUUCAAUGUAUUUAGAAAUAGAACUAUUUCUAAAAUUCCUAUAAUUUAAAUUAAUGCCUAAAUUUCAGAAACACUAAAAUUUCUAAAGUAAAUGCGUAAAUUAAUGCCUAACUUAGGGUAAUCAAUCAAUUUUUCAAAUUAGUUCAAAUUAAUGUAUAAAUUUAGGAUAUCAAUUAAAAGUUUCUUUAAAUGUUGCAUAGUUUAAUUACCAAAAUAAUCUCGAAUGAAAUAAUCAUUUUACCUGUUAAAUGUUAAAAUUACAUCUUUAUCCUUUAUUAAUCAACGGUUAAAAUCCAUUUUAUUUUUUUAAUAAUAAAGUACCGCAUUAUUUCUUUUUUAAAAAUUAUAAAUUUUGGUUUUUUAAAUUUUUAAAUGCUCUAUAUUACGAUUAACAAUAAGAACCGUCGAUUUAAAAAAUUUAUGAUCGAAAAUGACUUAUGAGUAGGAAAAGUAUAUAUUAUAUACAUAAGAUGAUGCAUGUGUGAAAUCAUGGACCACCUCCCGAAAUAAAUGCUUAGGCCGCAAAAACCUGUUAUGCGCCCACCUACUCUCCUUCACCUACUUUUUCCGCACAUAAAAUUUUAUAAUAAUUUUAUAAAAUUUUAUAAAAAAAAAAUUAAUUAAGGAUUUGAUAGUUAAUAUCUAGCACUAAUUUUAUAUAAAAAAAUUAUAAUUACUAAUUGAACACGACACAAUUGAUUAAGAAUUUAAUAGUUAAUUUCUAAUAUUUUAAGUUCGACAUAGUUAGUUACUUUAUAGUUUAUUAACUAAAUUUAUUUUUAAAAAAAAUAGAUGAAUCGACUAACAUAUUAUUUUUUUCUCUCUUUCUAAAAGAAAGCUACAUAAUAUUGAAUAGUUGAGAAGUAUUUUUAGACUUAGAUAUUCAACUAUUUUUCGACUUGGAUUUACAUUCAGCGAUUACCAUAGAAAUUGUUCCUAAGUAUAGUGUUAUAUUUUUAUUUGUGUGUAUUGUACGGUAGAAAAGAAUAAUGUUACAUUUUGCAAACCAUAGUAUAAUAAAUACAUAGAGUAUAAAAUGAUAAAGUGUUAUAUUACACCGCUCUACAAUUUGUAAAAAAACAAAAAAUCACUUUAUCGUAGUUAAUUAACGGCAAUUUCUAAUAAUAAAAUAAAAAUAAACUGUAAAAUAAUUAAAUAUAACUUUUUGAAUCAUAAUAUGACUUGGUUUUCUCUUAAAAAAAAAAAUACUUUGCUUGCAAACAAAUUUCAUAAUAUUUUACAAUCUAUACAAACCGAAUGGUUAGAUUUUUACUCUAAAAUUACAAGUCAUUUUUAUCUUUACAUGAUUUAUACUUCUUCAACAAUUAAAUACCAUCAUUUAUGCCAGACGGAGUCCAUCUAAACUAGACCUGACAAACGGAUGGAUUGGGUAACCCACGGGCGGGUCAUUGUACCCGUGGGUUACUUGGGCAUGGAUAAAAUUUACCCGCAAAUUUUUGGAUAGCCAACAUCAUUAUCCAUACCCACCCGCGGGUGGGCGGGUGGGUAUCCGGGUUACCCGUAAUUUUUUUUCUUUUUUUCUCUUAUAUUUUUUAAAUACAAAAUACAUAUAUGUAAAUUUUAAAAAUAUGACAUAACUCAUUAUUUAAAAUAUCAUAACAUACAGUAAAAUUAUUUAAAGUCUUAGAGCUUAAAAAUUUCGUAAUAUAAAAAACGCGAUAAGAAAUUAUAGUUAGAAUUUGUAGAAUGAAUAAAUAAAAAAAAUAUAUAUUUUAAUUAAGAAAAUAUAUUUUGUAAUUAAAAAAAAUAUGUGCGGGUACCCGUGGGUACCCGCGGGUUACCCAAAAUACCUACAGCUUAAUGGGUACCCACCCGUUUUACCCGUAUUUUUUUGGGUUGAAAAAGUUGGUACCCAUACCCGCAAAUUUACGGGUAACCCGCGGGGACCCGCGGGUAUGGGUCGAGAUUGCCAGGUCUAAUCUAAACUCUCUCAAAUAAUCUCAAACACCAUUUUAUCUACACUUUGCCCAAUUUAGUCAAAAUUCAAAAAAAUAUAUUAAAAUUUAGUACACUAAAUUCUCUCCCCCUACCCGCAUAAAAAUAAUUUCAUAUGCGAAACUUAAAUCCAUAUCUCAGCUCGAUUGAUUGAAGAGAGGAGGGUAGUGUUCUCGCAUCACAUUCUCGAGUUCCCAUGUACUCUCUUAUUUUUCAUGGUCGUUUUAUUGAUCUUAACAUACGGAAUCACAUGAUUUCAUAGUUUUUUUACUUUACGAGUGAGAAUGCAUAACAGAAACUUUUCAUAAGUCAUAUCCUUAUAAAGUUUCAACGGUUCAUAAUAAGUACGGCACAACAGAUUUGAAUUAUGUUUCUGAGUUCAAAAAUAAGUAAAAAAAAAUAAAAAAAGGGCCCUGCAAAAUAACAAAUUUGAAUUCAAAAUGUGAGGUGGAGAAAUAACUAUUUAUUCUUUUGAUUUUCGUCGUACGUGUCCGAGGCUUUCCUGAUUUGGCGGCCCAAAGUGAAAAAAAAAAAAUUCCAUGCAAUAAAUUUUUUUUAUAUACAAUUAAUUAUUCUUCAGGCAAAUUAUUUUGAUACAAAAAUAAAAAAAUAAUAUAAAAUAAUAAAAAAAUUGAAAAUGAUUUAAUAGAAGUUUUCGAUGAAUCUAUCACGAAGAUUAUUUUACAUAAUUUUUUCCAUUUAAUUAGUGUCUCUUAAUAAAGUUGUUAGACUUUGUCUAAAAUAAUAUAUUUGUCUACAGUAACGUAGAGAUUGACGAAAAAAAAAAGUGAUAUAUAAAUAAAAAUUAGGAUAAGCUUUAAAUACUAUCCUUGUGAUUUUGCACUUUUUCACUUUAGCAUUCUAUAGUUUAAAUCGUAUUACAUUAGAUCCUAUGGUUUUAUUUUUCUCUUUUCGUCAGUAUCUCCGUUAACUCUACGUUAAAUCAUGUACAAAAAAUUUCAGAUACUCAACCUAUGAUUUAUUGAAUAUUUACUUUAAUACUUUGUGGUUUGCCGAAUUCUUUCUUUAGAUCCUGUGUUCUUAAUUUUAUCACUGGUGUAACAAAAAAAUUAACGGAGAAGAUAACAGAAAGAAAAAAAACGAAACCAUAGGUAUUAAAUCACAGAAUAUCAAAGUGAGAAAAUUCGAAACUAUAGGAUGAUAUUUGAAGAUUUUUUUUAAAAAAAUAAAAUUAAAAUUAAAAUACAGUAUAUAAAAAUUUUAUAAAAACAUAACAAUAUAUAACGAUAUUUUCGAAUAAAAAAUAUAAUAUAGUAAAUAAUAAUAAUAAUAAUAAUAAUAAUAAUAAUAAAGUAGAGUGUAAGGAAGUGUAAUUAAGCAUUUUCCUAAGGGGAAAAGAGAAAAAAAAAAUCCUUUGUGGGAACACAAAACAGUUCUCCGUGGGGCCGUGCGCCAAACUCCGUGCUUUGGCGCGCGAGGGAAGAGCCGAGAUCGUGCCACGUGGACGUCGCGACACGUUGUGGUUCCCGCGUUGAAAUUCGCGGCGCCCACAUCCCACGCCCCAAAACGCCGUUUCCGAAUCGCCAAAAAAAAAAAAAAAAAAAAAAAAAAAAUUGAAGGGUAAAUUGUACAGAGACCCCCUAAUCUCUACCUAUCUGGCAAACAAGCACCUGAACUCUUAAUUUUGACAAUUAUAUUCUCUAAUUUGGUAGGCCGCUCAUCAAUCACACAACUCUUUAGUCAAAUUUUAAAAUAUAAAUAAUAUUUAUAUAAAAGUGAUUUGAUUGAAAUUUGAUUUAGCUUAUUUUUCACUUGUCAAGUUUAUUACUAAAUUUAAGUCUUACAGAUGAUGAUGUACGAUUAAAAUGGCUUUUUAGUUAGUAAAUUUACUUAAAGAAGAGAAAUUUAUUGAAUUAUUUGAUAAAAGUUUUAAAAAAAAUAUAAGUGCCAAAGAUAAAAAAAAUCUAGGAAGUGAUUUGUUAAAGAGGUGACGUUCAGGGGGUUAAAUAGAAAAGCGCUUUUCACAGCCGCGGCCCACCGCCCGCGACUUUUUCUACCUUCCUUCGUUUUCGCCCUCACCCAACCCUUCCCUUCUCGAAGCUUCUCCCUCUCUCCGAUUGAAAAUGGAACCCUAACCCUAACCCUAAAUCCCAAUUUCAAUCCCAAUCCCGAUCCCAAUCCCAAUUCGUGGAUCGAUCUCCCCACCCCCCCAAAAGUGGCUGUUUUUUGAGGUACUAGUCGACGCAGAUCCGCGCGGCCGAGAAACCCUCUCCGCGGGGGAAGUGAACGGGGUGGGGCGAUGGAGCGGGAUCGGAGGGUGAACCCCGAGUGCCCCAACGCCUCCAAUCCCUUCCACCGCUGCGCCGAGUACUGCGCCCCGAGAUCUCCUGCCGCCGCCGCCGCCGCAGCAGCAGCAGCAGCAGCGAAGCCCCGGAUCGAAUCGCCCAAAUCAGGUUUUGUACCUAAUUUCCCCUUUAAUUUCUCCUCCAAUUUGGCCCCCCUCUGCGAUGGAUUUGGUGUUGAUUCGUUUGUCAAUUGUGAUUUGGAUAGAUCCAAAUGGUGAUAGAACUCGAACGCGCGAUGAGAAGCGACGAGGUAGGCGAGGAGGCUCCGGGGGUUUGCCUUUAUAUGUUUUCCGUACGUUCCCGUCCUCUCUUUGUAAUCUAAUGGAAAAAGUCGGGAUUUUUCCUGUUUAUGUCUAGCAUCACUAAUUUUGUAUUAGAGGAGGAAAAAAAGAAACAACUUUGAUAUGUUUCGUUCAUUUUCUUCGAAUUGAUCAUGAGAAUUGUGCGCAAUUUGCUAUUUUGGGCUGUGGCCUUUCGUUUCAGUACAAAAUGGAGCAGCGGGGGAGAGUAGGAUGGUCGAUUCGAGGUGUCCGAAUGCGUCUAACCCGUUCCACGUAUGCGCCGAGUACUGCUUUACUAAGUUAAAUGAGAUUAAUAGGAGAGAGGGAAGCAAGUCGCCGUCCUUCUUGUCGCGGCACUCUUCAUCGUCAAGUGGUUCGUUCGCUGAUGCCGCUCGGUUCUAAUCUUACUACUAGUUAUCGGUUGCAAAGGAAAGCUAGGUUUUUUUCUAUAUAUAUAUAUAUAUUUUUUGGCAUCAAUUCUCUAUUGUAAUUGGUGGGUUGUGAUUGCAGCGGAAGAUGAUGUGAACUUGGGAGGGAACAGGAGGGUUGAUCCCAGAUGUGCAAAUGCAUCUAACCCAUUUCAUGUUUGUGCCGACUACUGUUUUAAUAAGUCGCAUGAGAAUAACUCGCAUGAGAUCAGUCGGGCAGAACCGGGCACUCCAGGUGUGUUAUCUUGCGCUUCCUGGUGUUACUUGACUUCUUUUUAACUCUUACGAUCUUGUGGAAAUGAUUUGAUACUUUAGCCUAUUUAAUCGAAUUUGUUGUCAUAAGAACUUAGUUCGUCUCACAACUGCUGUUCUUGGGUUAUGAUUGUAGUGGCAAAUGGUGUGAAGAUGGGAAAGACUAGGUCAAAUGAGAAGGAUCGGGCAGAGGGAGGUAUGUUCGGUGUCGACCCAUAAGAAUUUUGUGUUGAACGGUCGGAAGGGUUCUAGUCAGUUUCGUUCUAUCACUUAAUUGCUAGAUAUCUUAAUAGUGUUCUGCUACUUUUUGUUUGUUGUCGCGUAGGGGAAAAUGGUGUACAGAUUGGAGAGAACAGGAGGGUGGACCCCAGAUGCGCAAAUGCAUCCAACCCGUACCAUGUAUGUGCCGAUUACUGCUUUAAUAGAUCAAGUGAGAUGAAUCAUAAAGAGGGUGAGAAAUCAGGUAUGUGUCCUCUUUUGGACAAUUUUUUUAUUUUUUUAUUAUUUUCAUCUGUGGGGAGUAUUACUUUAUCUAGCGCCUUGUGUUUUGAAUCCUAUUUCCUGUUUUAACUUUAGUUGCAAGGGAAGCACAAGGGGUUCUUACUAUGGUCGAAAGAAGAGAUGUGCACCCCAAUUGUGUGAAUGCAUCUAAUCCCUUCCACAAGUGUGCUGAUUACUGCUUUAAGAAGUUGAAUGAGGCAACUUAGCUAGUCAUGGUAAUCUUUUUCCGAUUUUCUCUUCUAUCAAUGUUGGAGGCUUUUUAAUUUCAGUCGGCCAAACUUUUCUACUUUUGGUUGAUUUACUGAUUUAACUCGUGCAAAUUGAAUGACAUGUAUAGAACCAUUUAAAGAGUAAAUUAAUUAAAUCAAAACUAUAUAGGGCUCGAACGUGUAAUGAAAAGACGAAUCGAUGGCCUCAAGUUGAUAAAGGACUUUGUGCAAGACAUAAUUUGGAGGAAAAAAAUUCACGUAGCUCUUAUCGCAGCAGCGUGUUCUCAUAUAUUCUAUAAUUCACAAGUUAGAAUUCAUUUGUAAAGUAAGUGUGACAUGCAAAUUUUGCGCCACGUUCUCCCUAUUUCUUCGGUCCUUGCAUUUCUUCGGCCUGUGUUCUUCCUUACCUGUAGUUGGGCUUUAUUACUGAUUCCUGUAUACGUAUAGUCGCUAAAUUGUGUUGGCCCUAGAUAUGCCUCUUACAGAAUAUCUGUUAAUACGGAGUCCUCCAAAAAUACAAUAUAUUGCUUUCCUAUGUAUCAUUAAUUGGCUACAUAUCGGUACUUACACUCGUUUACUGAUUAGUUAGUUAUGGCGUAUGAACUAUUGCUAAUAACACUAGUCAUACUUUUAUGAAUAACACAGCUAUUGUUGCAGAAACAGCCAAAUAAUGCGCAAUUCGAAGUUUUCAAAUUUCCGGAAGAAAUUUUGAAUAAUUUGCUUCGUUUUUCUUUAUUAUUGUGCUUAUUCUUGGUUCGAUCAAAUGCGUUUCUGCAGGGGAGUAUUGCUGCAGGCCUGCAGGCAUCUAGCAAUUGCUGUUUAGUAGAUACAUUAUCGACGGCUCAGAUCCGCCCGAUCCCGCGAAUGUCAAUAGGUCGACGGGAAUAUUCUAGAAUGUUUCUUAUUGUAUAUUUCGUUUCGUAUAAGUAUAAUUGGAGUAACUACUGCGUUAUUGUUCUACGUUUAUUCGUCGAAAAGUGAUGUAACUAGCAGAUCUGCAGCUCCUCUUUUUAUCUUCUUUUUUUGGUUUUUGCUUUUUUUUUUUCUUUUUGUUAUUGUUGUUGCUUAUUAAUGUUUUUAAGUGUAUCACCUUGUAACUAUUGUAAUAAAUGGUGUAUGAGUUUAUGUGCAUUAGAAUUUGAAUCGAGCAAGCUCAUGCACCAAUUUUUUUGGUUUAUUUCAAGAAUUGAUAAUUCUAAAUUUUCUGAUUAAAAUGCUAUGUGUGUGGUGGAAUGGAAAAACCAUAUUGUAAUUGGAGAUUUUAUUUAUUUAUUAAGAACUGUAAUCAUUCAUUAGCAAAUAAAAUUUGGUCAAUUAAUAGUCUGUCAUUAAAUUUAAUAACAUUUAACUUAAGUUAAAAAUUCAACAAAAAAUUAACAAACCUCGUUAAUAAAUUUUUUGAACUUAGUAAUGUUUAAAAAUUCAGCUAAAAAACUAGAAGUUAGAGGAUCUCUAUGUUUUAAAAAAAGGCAAACUUUACUUCGCUCCCAUAUGCUUUUGGGCAUUUUUCACUUUGCACUCUUACAAUUUACAAAAUUAUACUUAAUUAUUUUAUAAUUAUUUUAUCUCAAAAUUUAUCAUUAAAUAAGAUAGUAAAAUCCUACUUUUUUAUAACGACAAGUAGGUAAAAUACAUAUUAUAGGGUAGGACCACAAAUUCUUAUAUUAUAAAAAAUAGUACUUUGCUAUCCUAAUUGAUGGUACUAUAAAAUUUUAAAUUACGGAGGAAAUUGAAGUUUAUCCUUAAGAAAAAAAUAUAGUUGAGGGGGCUUUUUCAGAAUAUCCUAUAGUUGAGGAGGUCCCAUACAUUUUGACAAAGAGAUAUAGCUUUCCGACUCGGAUAAGAAUCUCAAAAUCCACCCGAAACCCGAAACCCGUAAAUAGUCGCCGUAGCCUCCUCUCUCGAUCGUUCGAGCUCUAGGGUUUUGAUUCUCUCUCUCUCUCGACUCCCAAAACCAAUCGACUCCGAGGAGAGGGGGUGGCAAAGGAGGAUCGGCGAUGGAGGGGAAGGUCCACCCCGAUUGCAUCAACGCCUCCAAUCCCUACCACGAGUGCGUCGACUACUGCUUCCGCAAGAUCGCCGAAGCAAAAGCUCGAUCAGGUUCGAAUCAGCGCUCUUUUUCGGUUUUUUUGUUCGCCCGUUAUUUUGUACUGUUAUUCUGUUUUUCUCGAUCGGAUUGCUCGAGUUUGGUGAUUUUUGUUGUUGUAAUUGGUAAAGGAGUGUGAGGAGUCCCUAAAAUUAGCUCUUUUUUUUUUUUUUUUUUCCAACCCUAAUUUCCUGCUAUUACUCUCUUUUCCUGAUUGUAUUGAUGGAAUUUGGUGAUUUUUUUCUAUUUUUGUUAUUGAAAGAGGAGGGUGAGGAGUCCUUGAAAUUAGUUUUUUUUUUACGCAUAAUUUCCUACUAUUAUUCUGUAUUCUGGAUUGAAUUGUUGAGAUUUGGUGAUAUUUAUUGUUUGUAAUUGAUAUAGGAGAAUAAUGAGUCCUUAAAAUUAGCUUUUUAUGGCCCCUCCCUAAUUCUUACUAUUACUAUAUUUUUUGUGAUUUGAUUGAUAAGAUUUGGUGAAUUUUUAGUUGUUGUAAUUGAUAGAGGAGAUGAGAAGUCACUAAAAUUAGCUUUUCUUAUGGUCCCUACUUCCUAAUAUUACUGCAUUUUUUUUUCCUCUAUUGGCUUGUUGAGAUUUGGUGAUUAUUGUUCUAAUUGAUAGAGGAGAGUGAGAAAUUGAAGAAUCAGGAGGAGCCAGGGGAGAGGACCGUGCAUCCGGAUUGCAUCAAUGCAUCGAAUCCAUAUCACGAGUGUAGUGAGUUCUGCUUCAAACGGAUUGCAGAUGCGAAGGAUCAGAUGCGAAAGGAGGAACCAGGUUUUUUCUUCCCCCCCUCCCUUUUUCUCUGUCGGUUUUUUUAAUAAUUGGUAAUAUUUAUGUUUUGAGUAGUUUUUAAACUAGUUAGAACAAUUUUACUUGUGAACUCUGCGAAUGACUUGAAAAUUAAUUCCUAACCUAGCUAUGAGAAUAGUGAAGUAAAAGAUUCCAAUACUUGUAACCAAUUGCGGAAAAUUGUGUGUGGGAAGAAAUCUUGUUAUUGUCAUUUGCAGAAAUAGUGUUUAAUGAAUUUUGAAUAAGUUUGUUGGUCAUCUGCUUGCGUCUCCUUGUUGCAAAUAUAGUGACCUGCAAAUAUUCAUCAGAGUUGUCUCUGAUGCCCUCUAAGAAGUUCACAAACUGUUUGAUCUCAUUUGCUGAGCUGUGAUUUGCCGGUUUUCCAAAUUUAGUAUUCUUAUGCACUAUGGAAUGUUGUGUUAGAUCCCCCUCAAUUGCACUUUGAAACUCGAGUAAAAAGUUUCCUAAGCAGAUGAUUUUGUAUCCAUGCUGGUAACUUUAAUUAUGUUUAAAACCUCUCCAGGAAUGGGAGAGGCGGAUGGUGAUCCUUCUUCCCUAAAUGUCUCCAAUGACACUAAGGACCAUCCCAAACAACAAGAGGAUCAAGGAGAAGAAAGGGGUGGCGCCGAUGACUAUCCACAUAUGAACGAAAAGCAGAAGAAGUUGUUCGAGCUGAGGCUUAAAAUGGUAAUAUGUUCUGUAUGAAAUUAUCUAUUAGCAUGUAUAACCUUUCAAAAUCUGUACUUUUUGUGUAUGCCCUUCAAAAACUCAUUUUGUUAUAUCUAUUGCCUUAAACAUACAAAAGGCCCUUUUUGGAAAGCUUUUCUAAUGUAAAACCAACUUCUUCUCAUGAAUUAAAGCAUCUGGUAAAUUUGCCGACUUAAGGUUUUUUUUUUUUUUUUCUGGAGGAAACUGCACUUUUGAGGAGUACAUACAAAAAUUCAGAUACAACAGAGUAAAUUUCUAAAUAGAUUAUUUUGCAAGGAUAAAUGUAAAUGCCCCUUAUGAUUAUUUGGUAAUAUUGCUUGUUUACUGUUGUAUUCUGACAGAAUGAAGCAAGAAAAGCCAAUCAAAUGGCUAUAGUAGCAGAAAAGAAGAAGAUGGAAGCUCCCACUGAACCAAGGGGCAUCUCUAAACAGAAAUGGCUAGAAGAAAGGAAAAAGAAAAUCGGGAAGCUUCUUGAUUCGAAUGGGUUGGAUAUGUCAAAGGCUUACAUGCUUGAUACAGAAGAGACGGCUGAAGUAAAGUACAAAAAGUGGGAGAAAGAUCCCGCUCCAUAUGGCUGGGACGGUAUGCAUCAAAAACAUUUUUCAUAUUUGUUUCUCUGUUGGCUGCAGUUCAUGUAGGGCGGAAGAAUGUGAUUAGAGAUAUCUUUAGUUAUUACGAGUCAUUUACCAACAUUUUGUGAUUCUUAUGAUGCUCAUUUUAAUUAGAGAACUGAAAACUUUUUCCUGGGCAGUAGUUGUUAUUCAUUACUUAUUAGAGGGUCUUAAAGCCUAUUUCUGGUUGAUUCUUAUUUGGCGUUUGUUGGAAAUUUUGAGGAUGCUUUCUGAUUGAGGGAUUUACCUGAGCCCAUCUCAUUUUCACCUGUUGCAAACUGUAAUCUUGUAAUGAAUAAUUAGCUAUCAACUUGCUAAUGUUGUCACUUAUAUGUUAGUGGAGGAAUUGAAUUAUAGAACAAUCAAGGGUGCGAUGGUUUUUAAGAUCUAUAAUCUCUCGGAAAUCCACCUUGAUGAAAUCCUUUUGUUGGAAAUCUAUCUAAUUGAAGUCUGAUUUGGAAGCUUAUUUUUAUCUUACUAUUCUCUUUUCUCCUGGAGUGGCUGUUUUCAUCUAUCUUUUGUACUCUACUUUCCGGAUAAUUUAUGGCAAUUUAGACUCGAGUGAUUCAAUGUGGCAUUUCUGCCCUGAAAGAAUAGCAGUUAUCUGAUAAGUAGUUUUUCAUAUGCAGUUUUCAAUCAGAAAACACUUUACAAUGCCCACAAGAAGCGGACCAAGAACAUACAGGUCGACAUGGAGGCAUACAAUAAAGCAAAGGAAGCUGAUCCCGAGUUCUAUCGUGAUGCUUCCAGUCUUCAAUAUGGGAAGGUACUUUUCGCCCCAUGACACUAUCUGAACCAGCUUCUUUUGGACUCAUUUAAGAAACAAGGCUAAACAUAGAUUACUCCCGUGAAUAUGUGCACUUUACUCCCGUGAAUAUUGAUAAGCAAAACCUACAUAUGCAGAAUUUUCUGAUGAAUCAGGACUUUGUGUAUGGGUUUACAUUUCCAUCUGUUUCCUGUCGGCAGGUUUCGAAAGUUUCCGAGGAAAACAUCGAUCUAAUGGUGAAGGAGCUUCAGGAGAAGGAGGCGAAGCGCAAGUCCUUCAGCAGGAGGCGCAGGUUCCAUGAAGAGAAGGACAUCGAUUCCAUCAACGACCGCAACGAGCACUUCAACAAGAAGAUCGAGAGGGCCUUCGGGAAGUACACCCUCGAGAUCAAGAACAAUUUGGAAAGGGGAACCGCCCUACCCGACUAAGUACUUCUUCGAUGAAUUGUGUAAUAUUAGUGGCUCGCUCUGUACACCCCUUGAUUUUGCAUUCUCUGUUCAUGUAUUUUAUAGCUUUAAUGAGGGAACAAUGCAUGAAAGGGGUACUUCUAAACUAAAUUUUCUACUCAUUUCUAGUUUCUGCAUUUGCUUCACUUCAGAAUUUAACCGUCCAUUAUAUCUAAAGAAAAUUAUGUAAAGCACACAGUUUGUAGAUUUAGGGGGGAUAUUUUUUAUUUUUUAUUUUUUUUGAGAAUUGGGAGCUUGAUUUUUCGCUACGUGUUCCUGGAAUAACCAAGAACAACAUAAUUCUGAACUAAAUGAUGCUGAAGAUUCGAACACAGUUUUUUUUUUAAAAAAAAGGGAAAAGUCCAUAGGCCAAGGCAUUUAAAAUUUGAAAUCAGAAUACACAAUAUCUGUACGAACAAAAUUUUACAUAAAUUCAAAAUUGUAUCGAAUAUUUUAAUGUACAACCAAAUAAAAUAUCAACCUAUGACGCGAAACUUUUAUCCUUAAAUUUUAAUUCAACUAUGACGCGACACUUUUAUCCUUAAAUUUUAAUUUAUUCUAAUUUCUCACUAGAACUAUAAACUAUGUGAUAUUUUAGUCUUCAAACCUUCUUAAUUGUAACAAUAUAUUACUUAAUGAUGCAAUAAUGAUCAAAAUAUUAGAUUAUUUCGAUUUUACUAAUUCAUCAAUAUCUAUUCAAAAAAAAUGGAUUACGAGACUUUGAUUGCAACAAUUCAAGAAGUUUAAGGACUAAAAUAUCACAAAUCUUACACUUCCAGCUAGAAAUUGCCGUGUAUUAAAGUUUGGGGAUUGCAUUGUCACGGGUCUCAUAGUUUGAGGACCAAAAGUGCAAUUUAUGUCAUAUAUAACGAUAAAAAUAUUCCCUAAAUAAGUUAGCUACUAAUGGGCCGUGGGGCUCGGCCCAUUUAGAAUGGCCCGUAGCCCAUAAAAAUAUCUAUCACUCGUUCACUCACUUCUCUACCAAAUCCCAUCGCAAUAAAAGCGUGCGUGCGACGCAAGAUCGAAAUUCGAACUCUUUCUCCUCCGCCGCGGCGACGAAGCUAGGGUUUCCUCCUCCUCCUCCUCCUCCUCCUCCUCUCGAUUCGCCUCCAUGAUCGCACCUCGAUCUCCAAUCCCUUCCCCCGACAUCUUCCUCUGAUCGAAUCCCUCCUCUUCCGAUUCGAUCCCACGUUUUUUCCCCAAAAUUUUCCAUCUUUUUUUUUUUUUCCCAUUAUGAUUCCAUCUCCUCCUCGCGCGCUCGGUCUCAUCGUCGCUUCCUUCUCCGCCAUCGACAACCUCCGCGUCCUCGGCCCCGGUUUGAAUCCCUUCGCUCCCUUCGGCAUGGGUAACUACUCCGCCUCCCGCUAAUCCUCUUCUCAGGGUUUACUGGGAUUCUUCCGAUAAUAUGUAAAAAGCCCCGGCCUUUCUCGCGGAUCCGGUCGCUUCGUCGCACGAUACACUUUUGAAGACGUAUCGAUCUUCUUCUCUCGAUUGGAGGUGGUAAAGGAGUGUUGGUUUUGUGUAUGCUAUUGAUUUGGAGGGUAUCGAGCUGGUUUGGGGAAUUUGGGGGAUUAUUUCUCGGUUUCGUUUUGGGAGAUAUGGUGCAAGAGCACAAUAGGCAGGUGCCGCGUCGGCAGCUGAGUCGGGGAUCGUCCAACCGGCGUUGCAGCGACAGAGACGAUCGAGGGUGGACGCUACUCCACGUCGGUGCUCGGAAGGGUGAUCUCAAGGAGGUUAGUGUUCUUAUUUAGCAUACAAGUUGAUAAUUUCGUUUUAGAUAGUUCCGUGAUUAAUAAUGUUGACUAGUUGGUGAAAGAUCAGUUAUGGAUUAGCUAAUGACCUUUACUCUGGUUAGAUUCAAAUCUUCACUUUGGUAUAUGCUCUGAAUAUCUUGUGAAAGCAAAUUUUUGUGGAGAACGAAACAAUAAGUAUGUGGCAUACGCCAUUUGUGCAAUGAUUCUCGAUAAAUGAACUAUAGAUUGCUGAAGGGUAGCUAGCCCUAGAAUAAAUAGAUAGCCAUUUGUUUGGUUGGAGUCCCAUUUUUAGCAGUCUCUCAGUAGGAUUGAUGGGUCAGACUCUUGUCUUUCCUCAUUCAAAACUCAUUUCUUUUUCACUUGCAUGAACAGUCUGGCCACCAAUGCUUUGCCUAGUUCGGUAGAUUAUUCGGAUAGGUUAAGGUGCGGAGCGAUACAUUGGCAUAGGGUCUGUUUUAAGAAAAAAAAAAAUGAAUGUGGAGUUCUUGACCACGGAGCCUCCCGUUCUUAUCUGAUUGUAUAUUAGCUUGUCUAAUGGCUUUUAAUCAUAGGCGGCACAUGACUUACUUUUUUCUAUUUAAAUUUCUUUCAUGUGCUCAUAUGCACCUCAUAAGAGAAGCUAGAGUUUAGAGACUCGCCACCAGUUCCCUUUCCUAUGCCCAUACCAUCUCAUAUGUGUUUGAUUUACAUAAUUUGUUAUGUUCUCUUCAGGUGAGGCGCCUUUUGAAUGAAGGCAUGGAUGUCAAUGUGCUUACUUGGGGCCCAAAAACACCUGGUGUUACCCCACUUCAUCUUGCUGCUCAAGGCGGACACCUCAGAGUUAUGGAUGAAUUACUCGACCGUGGUGCAAAUAUCGAUGCUCGAACGAAAGGAGCAUGCGGCUGUAAGUUGAUCUUUCUUCAGUUCCUUAUUCUUGUUGCAAGAAUUUGUUUCUAUUAGGUGGCAUGAGUCAGGUCUGUCGUUGUUUAAUUUCUUUCUCUUUAAUUUUUGGAAAUGAAUUUUUAAUAGUGUUUCUUUUAAUUUUCCUUGUUCUCUCAGAAAAACAACUUCCUCUACACUUCAAGGACCAUUUGAAUAUAGAAAAAGCAUAAUAGUUAUCAAUCUUUCUUAAUCCAACUUUGUUGAACCUUAUUUUAAUUGGUAGGAAUUUGUUGCCGCGUUUACAUGCAUAGAAUGUAUAAAGGGAUCAUUGAUUGCCUUAUGAAUGAUGCAGGUCACAUCCUUCAGUUGAUAGUUUGAUUUUUAUGUUCUUUGUAAUCUAAUGUAGCUUUUCAGUUUGCUUAUGUAAGGUGAUUUCCUUAGGUUUAUUUUGUGUUUAUCUCACAACUGAAUAGUUCUGCAUUAAAAGUUGGAAGAUGACGUGAACAUGAUAUAGUAUAUAAGGACUAGGACACUAGUACUGUUGAGUUUUUCUUGGUCUCAAGCAUCUAAGACCAAGUGUUGAGACUAGUGGGCUAGUUGCGCUGUGAGUAUGGCAUAAGAGCACAUUGAGGUGAUAUGACGUUGGGCCAUCUGAUUGUUCAUCCUUGUUGUUGCUCUCAAUCUCAAUACAAUGGUGAAAUAGCAGAUUGGAGAGACUCUGUCAACCUUGUUUAACUUUUAUGAUAGUCGGAUGUUAUAAAUCUCGUUUUAACUUUUUCGAUUUUCAUAAUAAAUAAUAAAUAUAGAUCAAUGAUCUUUGAUCUUAACUAAAAAUAUUAAGGUGUACGACUCACACAACACUUGCUGUGAGUUUUCUUUAUAUCCUUUAUACGUGUUGACGAUUUGAGAAUAUAUGAUUCCUUCUCACUAAUAACGGAAAUUUUGUUGUCAUUUCUUCUGCAAUACGCUGUUUCCCCUGACGAUGAAACAUGGCUGAUUUUGAUGCCUUUCUGGCAAUUUAGGGACUCCGCUUCACACUGCUGCCAAGGAGAGGAACAAGAGAGCCAUAAAAUUCCUGGUAGAGAACGGUGCAUUCUUGCCCCCUGACAUCGACGACCAACGCUUCAACCCGCCCCUCCACUACUGCCCGGGCCUCGAAUGGGCCUACGAGAUGAAGCGCCUGCAUGACGAUGGCCCGUCUGGUGAAACUUCUUGCAGUUCCGAGAGCUAAGUGAGUACCGAAACCGCCCACCCUUGGUGCUUCUAUCCUAGCAAUGUUGUCUGUGAAAAGAACUCUCGACGAUCGUUAUGUUUGUUCUCAAAAUGGCUUGCUUGUCGGUAUUUCUGUGCCUUACCGAACACCUUAUUAGGGUUUCUACUCUGUAGAAAUAUUGUGCCUUCUUCUGUUUGUCUGUGUUUUUUAGCUGAGAAUGCUGCUGAUCAAGACAUUUAUUCUUAUGCUUGCUGUGUGUUUGUUGUUCUCGUAAACGAUGAGCUGAUAAAUAAUUAUUCAUGGAUUUGAUCCUAUAAUUUACAUCUUUUAUUCUGGGAAAAAAAAAGAGCAUACUUUUGUCAAGUUUCACAUUGGAUUUUUUUAUGUUUGUACAUAACAGAGUUUUCUGUUAACACUAAUGUUUGGAUACACAGUAAAAAAAUCUCCAUGGAAUUUUUAAACGGUGGUUUUGGUCCAAAUAAAAUAGAGAAUUCUGUUAACUCUAAAAAAAAUUUCACGGAUUCAAUUUUUAAACUGUUUGGAUGCAUAUUGUGUAAUUUUACGGGAUUUCUCUAAAUUUUAAAAUUAAAAGUUAAAAUUUUAAAUUUUAAAUUUCAAAUUUGGCCAAUUUGUAUAAAAAAUUCAUUUAUUUUGGGCUUUUGCAAAAUUGGGCCACCUUUUUCGUUUUUGCAGAUUAAGCUAGAUUUUCAGCAAAUUGAUCAAAAUAUUCUUAUUAUUUUCUCUCUUUUUUUUUCUCGUUUUUUUCUCUCUAAAGAAUGCAGUGAUGGCGGAGGCGGCCUCGCUUCUCAUCCUCAUACUCUCGCCCUCACCCACGCACCCUGCGCCUUCCUCGCCUCCGACCUCGUCAAGACUGCAUCGCGACUCCUUUUUUUUCCCCCUCUCCGACCCUCCUCCACCGCCUCUGACGAUGAUGCCUAUCUCACCCUCUCUCAUCCUUCUCGCCCUUUCCUUCUCCCUCCUCCUUCGCCUCCUCCGCCGCCUCCGACGACGACGCCUCUCCGCCCACAUCGGUGCCGCGGAGGUCGCUGUGGCGCCGCAGCCUCGGAGCGGGGGGUCUUUAGCGGCGUCAUCGCCGGCGCCGUGACCGUUGGCGGAGAGAUGUGACAAAAAAAAUGUAGAAAAAGGAAGAAGAAAAAAAUAAAGACAAAAAAAUAUAUAAGAAAGAAGAAAACGGUGAAAUUGCACUGUUAAAAUAAGAUUACACUGUCUUAAAACAAAUUUGCACUGUUUUAAUGAAAAUUGCACUAUUUGAUAUAGAAAUUACACUCUUUUGGAAUGGACUUUACACUCUUUAAGCCAACGUUGCACUAUUUUGGAGAAUUUUGCACCAUUUCUUUUCCUCUUCUUUUUUUCUUUCUCCUCUUUUUCUUCUUCCACUGCUGCCUCCCGCCCGCCCGGCCCGAGCUCCUUUCCCGUUGUCAGGAGCCUCCUCGAGCUCGGCAAUAGCCCACACCGCGCCUUCGCGCGCCUCGCCGCCUGCUACGGGCCCCUCGAGCUCAGCGUGACCACCGUUGUGGCCUCCUCCCCCGCAGAUGGCGACGCCCUCGAGGUGGAGCCAGGCGGCGUUGUAAAUGCCGUGGAAGCGAAGGUGGAGGAGGGAGAGGCGGGGGCAGUUGGCGGCGAAGGAGAGGAGGGCCCCGGAGCGGGGAGGCGCCCUCAUCGCCGGCAACUUCUGGGGCAGUUGGAGGCCCCGAAGCCCGCCGGUGGGUACUUUGUCAUUGUCACCGUUGUCAUGGUCGGCAAGGCCGCCUUUGUCGCUGGCAGCCUCCGCGGCGAGGCCUACAGGAGGGCGGCGGCGCGAUCGGCCCCACGUUGGGAGGCGCUCCUGAUCUUUCGCGNAAAAAAAGAUUUUGGUCCAAUGGACCAAAAUAAUUGGUCCAUUGGACCAAACUACACCUCCCAAGACCUUGGGAGGAGCAGACCACAUGGCCCAAGGCAAAUUGCCUUGGGCCAUGGGGUCCGAGCCCGGCUGGCCCGGCCCAAGCGGGCCGUGCCGUGCCGGGCCGCCUGCUUCCAAUUGGCCCGGCACGGCCCAGGCCCGUUUCGGGCCGUGCCGUGCCGGGCCGUCGGGCUCCAAAACAGCGGCCCAGCACGGGCCCAGAGCCUCGGGCCGGUCCGGCCUGCCACGGGUGCUACAGUGCCCGUGCCGGGCUGUGGCCCGGCCCGAGGCCAUGCCGGACCGGGCGGCCCACGUGCCGCCCGGCCCGUUUUACACCCGUAUCCACACCUCUAUCUCUCUCUCUUUCUCUCUCUCAGACCCUUCCUAGCAGUAGGGCUGGCAAAUGAACGAGCCUCUUUCUCUCUCUCAGACCCUUCCUAGCAGUAGGGCUGGCAAAUGAACGAGCCGGCUCGUGUUCGACUCGCAUUCGACUCGAUAUUUGGCUUGCUCGAGCUCGACUCGAAAUUAAAUGAGUCGAGCUUGAACAAAAAAAGAGCUCGAAAUUUAUUUCAAGCCGAGCUUGAGUAUUACUCAGCUCGUUCGAAUUAGGCUCGAAAAGCUCGAAAAGCUCGAAUAUAUAUAUAUAUAUAUAUAUAUAUAUAUAUAUAUACUAUGUUAUCGAAAGUAUAGAGGAUCUGAUGUUUUCGAUUUUUUGAUUCUUAGAUUAAUACUAUUAUUACCUUGUAAGAACCACUCAAUCCUAGGGGUAUUAUUUAAUCCUGGGGGGAUCGCAAUCAUUCCAACCAUACAAUUCUUAAUCAAAGGGCCAAAAAUUCGAAAAUAUCAAAUCCUUUAUAUUUUCAAUAGCAUAGUAGUUCUACAGUAUAUAUAUUAAAAAAUAUAUAAAUAUAAUAUAUUUUAAUUAUCUGAGUUUAGUUAAAAUUAGGCUAAUGUUGUUGGCCCAUAAAAACAAAUCUAAUAGACAAAUAAAAGAGCGAAAUUUCACUUAAUUUAUACAUUUUUCCUUUCUUUCUUUCUUUUACAGAGCUUAAAUUUUUAAUAUGUUUCUCUUUUUCUCUUUUUCUGUCUCUCACCCUAAGUGGCACCGGAAGCCCUUCAAAUUACCAACUAACAGCAUAUGCUCGUCGUUGCCUACCUUGCUAUUAAUUGUAUACUUGAGAAAAAAUAUACAGAAUAUUUUUAAAGUAAAAAAUUAUUAUUCAUAUAAAAUUUUAAUUUUAAUUAUAUAUGAUUGGAUAGUUUAAUCCAAUAUUUAUCUAUAUAAUUUAUUUAUUUUUGAUUGCAUAAAUGAAAAUGAAUAAUAUGGAGAUUAAAGGCGGAAGAAAAGACAUGUGAGACUGAAAAGAUUAGGAGUAAUGCUUCUAUACUUUUUUUUUUUUGUUACCGUUCAUUCACGUGUAUUCAACGGCUCAGAUUUAGUUUUUUUUUAAAUUGUGACCUGCAAUAGCAGGUCACUCUUGGAGAGGUACCGGUUACCAGGUACCUCAAAAAAGAAUAGUUUUGUCUUUUAAUAUAUGGGCAAUUUAGUCAUUUUACAUCUACUAUAUUUUCAAAAUUUUUAUUUUUUCUUUGUUUCCUUUUUCUCUCUCUAUCUUUCCUUUCAUAAUUUGGCAUUUCAUAUAAGAAAAAUUUCAAAUGAUUUGACAAUAUAAUCAUUGAAUUUAAACUUUAAAUAGUAAUAUAAAAUUCCUCUAAUUUAAAUUUCACUUUUAAAUUUAAAAUUUAAUAUUAUAUUCAAAUUUAUAUUUUAAAAAUUUAAGUUUCAUAUAAAUACUUUGAAAUAUGGUAAACAGAAAUAAUUGUUUGAAUUUUAGUCUUCUGGUUUAGGUUUGGUUUUGGGUUUCGAAAAAUUUGUCAGUUUUGAAUUUGGAUCAUGGAUUUUUGAAUCCGUCGGAGUUCGGAAAUUUAAGUUUGUGAGUUGAUUAGUCAGAUUCGAAUUCAAAUUCCUAACUAUUUGUUUUCUCACCAAUAAUUUCUGAAUCUUUGUUUAAUGUUAAUAUGUUGUAAGGAAUUAUAAUUUAAAAUAUUAUUAAGCUCGGUAACGUUGAGUUAUCAUUCUGUUUAAAAUAGUUUAUUUAUGCUUUACCGGCUUUCGGCUUCAAUAGUUAAAAUCAGAUCUUGAUAGAAUAGGUCAAAGUCUGAUCAGUCAAAUCAAUCGGGUUUCAAUCUAGUUUUUUAAAUCAUGAAUUUAAAAUUCUAAAAUAGUAAUAUGAAAUUCCUGCUAGAGAGAACUAGUUGUAGAAAAUCUACUCUCUAGAGUUUUUUACUGCAUUACGCUUUUAACUGGUGCGAAUAAAACUGUAUAUUAAACUUGAGAAAUUUAGUUUUUAAAUACGUAAUAUGAAAUUCCCUCUAAUAUUUAGAAAUUUCACUUUUAAUUUUAAGUAUUUAAUUUUUAAAAUUUUAAAGUACACGUAUUGAGAAUAAAUAUAUUUCUUAAAAUUUCUAAAAUUCAAAUUAAUGACAUAAUUUGAGAAGCAGCUAAAACAUUUAAGAGUAGAUCCUAAUUAAUGCCAAUAAUUGCAUAAAUUUGGUUAAUAUUAAUUUCUAAAUUAUGUGCAAUUAAUGCAUAAUUUAGACUACUCAAUUAAACAGUUUCUUUAGAUAUUGGUAUUUAUUUUAAUUUACCAAACUACCUUGAAGUAAAAUAAUUCCUUUUACCCUGCUAAGUAUUAAAGUGUAAAUUUUUACCUCUAUUAAUCAACGGUUAAGAUCUUUUUUAUUUUUUUAACAAAGUACGGAAAUCAUUUCUCAAAGAUUAGUAUUAUUCCAUUCAUAAAUAUUUUUUUUCAUAUAUGAUAUUUACUAUAUUUUAUAUAUGUAAUUUGUUGUACUUUGAGACUUUAGUACAUAUUUUGUGUAUCAAAUUAGUAGAUAAUGUCUAUACAAUUAAACUAUUGAAUCGUAUGCAAUGUGAGAAUUUCAAGCCGGCUCGUUUAGGGUUCGAGCUCGCUGGACUCGAGAAUUUCAGGCUGCGCUUCGAGCUCGGCUCAAAUUAAUUUCAAUCCAGGGCUUGAGCUUAAAUUUUAGGCUCCGAAUAAUUUCAAUGCCGAAUUUGAGCCGGGGUAAGCUACGCUCGCGAGCUCGGCUCGUUUUCCACUCGCCCUACCUAGCAAGCACCUCGUCUUCCUCUCUCCCUACCAACAACACAUGGCCGUACGCUCACACACACUCUCUUCGUUCUACUCCUCGUCUCUUCUUCAAUAUGUAUAUUAAUAAAAUUAAUUUUUCUAUAAUAUGUAAUAAAUUAAUUUAUAAUAAUAAAUAAUAUUAUUAUUAAAUAUUUUUGAUCCAUCACAUGUAAUAAAUUAUAUUUAACUAGUGAUGACUCAGAAGAUGAGCUAUAUUGAGUGUCCAGUUCAAAUUUUUGCACAAAGCAUAAAAAAAUUGUGAAACUGAGUUAUACACAUUAUUGAUCGUACCUAUUGAGGACUAUUGAUUUUAGUUCUUAUACUCUUUUAUUUAAUAUUUUAUUUCAGAGCCUUUACCACCAGCAACUGAUCGAGAUAAAAAAAACAUAAUUUAGUAAAUAAUAUUAUUUAUUAUUAUUAAUAAAUUAAAUUUUUUAUUAACAUUAUAAUAAAAACUAAUUAUUAUUAAAUAAAUAUUGAAGAGAGAGAGAGAGAGAGUGUGUGUGUGCGCGUGCAUGUGUGUGUUGGUGGGGAGAGAGGAGAGAGGGUGCUGCUAGGAAGGGUCUGAGAGAGAGAAAGAGGUGUGGGGUUGGGGAGGAGAGAGAAAGAGAGUGAGAAGGGAUCUCAGAAAAUGAGAGAGGAGAGAGAAAAAAAAAAUUUUCUCACUUAAUCUUUUAAUAUGUAUUAAAAGAAAUUAAUUUUUUUUUCUCUAAUCUUUAAAAAUGAGCCUAGAUGGAAUUUUUUUUAAAAAAAAAAGACUAGAUAGAGAAUAUUUUUUUUUGUAAAAAGGCUAGUUAGGUAAAUAGUUCGUUAAAUUUAAGGUAGGGGAACAAGUAAAAUACUAUAAUGAUCUAAGUAAAGAGAGACUGUAAUAAAGAGUUACCUAAAUUUUGGUUGGUCUUUUCGCAGGAAAGAUGCAACGGGAAAUGUUUCUGUCGCGGCGUCGCCGUGAUUGAAAACUUCGUGUACUUCAGGUAGGUCCCGAAAGAAUAAAAAAACUAAACUUUAAGUAGAACUGUAGAAGUUAAGAAAGCAAAAGAGACUCAUCACAAAGGACAGACUUCAGUUCUUAUUUAAAAAAUAAUAAUAAUAAAUCAGUUGGUUGGCUAUCUCUUUCUCUCUAAAAAAAACCCUUAUUUUAAAACCUUUUUUUAUUAUUAUUAUUAUUAUAUAUAUAUAUAUAUAUAUAUAUAUAUAUAUUUUGGUCCUUCUAAAUUUCUAGCUCUUGGAUUUAUUUCUUAAUUACUAAUACUCCUUAGAUCAAAUACUAUUCCACCUAUCACAACCUAUCAUCAUCAUCAUCAUCUCAAUCCUACAUCUCUUCAUCCGAUGGUUAAAAACUCAAAAACAUCACCCUCCAGAUUAUGAGGGCAUGUUGCUCGUAUCCCAAUUUUAAUAUCCAAACUAAUAAUAAUAAUAAUAAUAAUAAUAAUAAUAAUAAAGUCUCCUCAAAUCUACAAAAGAUUGAGAGCUUUGAAUGUGAACACACGAUCAAUCAUCAGUUUGCAAAAGACGGUUCAUUUAAUUUUCCUUCAAUGUGUCGAGUUGAAUGGACGAUCCUUGCUGCCAAACGAAUAUUUAUUAAGUAAUUAGUGGCCUCAUCCAUCAACUAAUACAUCAACGAAUAUUUAUUAAGUAAUUAAAGACUUCAUCCGUCAACUUUAGGUACCAAGUAGGUGGGGGAGGUCCAAGGUCCUUGUUGCCACGUAAGUUGGCGCUGACGUUGACUCAAACCGAUGGUUGUUAUAAUGGUAAAUAGCUGACGUCUAUGUGAAAAAAAUUUUGCCUUGUGGAGAUACACUAAUUUUAUUUUAUUUUAUUUUUACGUCUUUGUGCUACUUUUUAUCUUCUUAGAGGCCGUGUUGCCUCACCCAUGUAGCUAAGUUCAUCUUCUAAAUAAAUAAAGCGGGUAACGUGGUACCUUUUCUUAAAAAUAAAAAAUAAUAAUAAAGAAACUGUUUUCAUCUAAUAAUUAAAUAGUCAAUACCAGGUUGCGGGAAGAAAACCUGAUCAGCUAUUUACAAAUAGUCAAUUUCAAUUCUCCUCCCCGCCCCCUCGAGUGACUUGACAAUUCUAUUAGAUGGCGCAAUCCGGCGACUGCACCAUGCUUUUGCCGUACAGGGCGGGCGGCACCGCCCUCGACGCUCUGAUGGUGGUGGUGUCGGCGAUCAUGGGCCUCCUCGCAGGUCUCCUCCUGGUCCGCGGCCUCCUCGGCAGCCUGUCCGGAGCCGCCACCACGCAUCCCACCGUCCGCUACUUCCUCUGGGUCGUCUUCGCCCUCUUCCUCCCUCUUACCUCGUACAUGUUCUCCGAGGAGAAGAAGCACUCGGACGGAUCCCUCCGGCCGCAGCUCAUCCUGCUGUGGAUGCUCCUCGCCGAGAUCCUCCGCAAGAAGCUCGAAGGCGUCAGCACGAUAAACGCCUCCCCUCUGCAGGGCGUCAACAAGCAGUCGACGUGGGACGCCGUCGACCAGAUCGUGCGCAUCACGUGGCUCGGCUACCUGAUCUACACGCACGCAGUCAAAUGGGGAUUAUUCAUCAUCCUCUGGGCUUUCAGCAUCAUCAAGGUCGCGCAGAGAGUCGCUGCCGUCGAGGUCGCCAAACGCUCCUUCGCCUUGGGGGAAAACCCGCACCUCAUCGUGGGCUACAUGCGCCAAUUGAUGUCCGGAGAACAACAACAACGACAACAAGGACCAGCAGCAACAUUGAGGGCGAUGAAGGCAUGCAAGUACGUGAUCAUGGGAGAAGAAAAGGUGGAGAGAGAGGCGGGCCCUCACGGCUACAGUCUCCAGCUCCCGGUUGACGAAGAGAGGGAGAAAGUGGUGAAGAAGAUGGUGACCGUCGGCGACGUGUGGGAACUGGCUGCAAGCGGCGACGUCCUUUUUGCCUCCCGGCAGCUGAAGCUCAAGGACCUCUGCCUCUCCUUCGCGCUCUAUAAGCUACUGCGGAGGAGGUUCGAGGAGUAUCCGUCUGCUGAGGCCGGCCGCCGCGAGUCCCUUGACUUCUUGCUGUGCGGCUUGCUCGGCGACGACAAGGNGAUAUAUAUAUAUAUAUAUAUAUAUAUAUAUAUAUAUAUAUAUGCAUGACGAAAAUUUAGAAUCUCUUGCCUGCGCCAAUAAUACUUGUGUUAAAAAAUAAUAUGUAAUAACCGAUCGAUCUUCUUCAAAAACUAAAACUAAUUCUAUUGCAGGGGAUCGAACAACGAUACAUAUGAGUUGUAAUAUAUAGUUUUACUGCGUACUUUCAACAGGGUCUUCCGUGUGAUUGAGGACGAGCUCAGCUUCCUCAGCGACUACUACUACUCCACGAUCCCCCUCAUGAUGUCAAAUCUCUGGUUCUUCCUCCUCGACUGCAUGCUCGUGUUCGUCAUCCCGCUCUUCUGCUCGAUCGUGAUCUUUGUCCGCAUCGUCGUUGUGCACGAUGGCCUUAUCUGGUGCCUCUUCCAUCAGCUCAUCAAAGAAAAGGUGACAGUGCCCAUGCUGUAUGAUCCGAUCGUCACCCUCCUCCUCAUCGCCACGUUCUUCUUACUGGAGUAUGCGGAGGUCGUCGUCUACGUGCUCUCCGACUGGGUCAUGGUCUCCCUCCUCUGCACCUACGCGAAGAAGCCGUCGUGGCGGCAAUACGCGAUCGUCCGCCGGGCCCUGACCACGCUGCGGAGGGUGAAGACCUACUUGAAUCGUGCCGAGUUCGAAUUCAACCAGCAUUCUAUGCUAGAACCGCGCGGUCGCACCCUGCAAAUCUUCUCGCAGCUCGUGCUGCGCCGGCGCUUCCUCCUCGUGCAGUCGAUGCUCCUGAAGAUUGUGCUGCACCGCCGGUACCUCGGCGUGCGGUCGACGCCCGUCCCGAAGGAGGUGAAGGCGGCGAUCGUGAAGUAUCUCGUAGACAAUCGAGGCCGCUGCCCCGCUCUGCACAUCGGAGACUCCGUGCUGCGGCGGAACGGGGCAGCAGGAGAGGAGCUCCUGCAGGCUUGCAAGAGCGACGGCGCUGCGGAGACGAUCAUCGUCUGGCACAUCGCCACCUGCCUCUACGAGAUGAAGCACCCGUCGUCCCCACCGUCGCAGGAGAAGCCUCAGCAGGAGUCCGACGUCCACAACAUGCAAGCGAACUGUAGGAUCGCCGAGACGCUGUCCAAGUACUGCAUGUACCUGGUGGCGCUCGCGCCGGAGCUGCUGCCCGACGACGCGGCCUGGACGACAACCGCGUACAAGUCUGCGGUGAAGGAAAUUCAUGAUGCUAUAUUGAAACGGCGUGAUCAUAAAGCGGACAAUUUCGAGCGCGUGACGAGCAUGAAGAAGGUGGACGGGACAGUGGCGGAGAGGGGAGCAGAGCUCGGGCACCAGCUGGUGGAGGCGGUGCUGGAAGAGUCGCUGGUGUGGAUGGUGCUGGCGGAGCUGUGGACGGAGAUCGUGGUCUACAUCGCUCCGUCGGACGACGUCAAGAGCCACGCGCAAGCGCUGGCCCACGGUGGCGAGUUCAUCACCCACAUCUGGGCAUUGCUUACUCACGGCGGCAUUCUCCGGUGGCCCGCUGCUGAUGAGUCUCCGGUGUAAUGAGUUUCCAACUGAUGAUCAGUUAAGCUUUCAUGCAUGCAGUGUUUGUUCUCCUUUUAAGAUGUUUGAGUAGAUCGAGUUCGUUUUGGAACAGGCGUGUGUGGAUUCCAAUGACAUCUUAUUAUUAUUCUACAGGUUCUAGGUCUGGUUUUGAAGUUUGCGCGGUUGUAAUUUGAAAGAUUCAUCAAGUGUGCAUGCAUUAUGAGAGAUCUAUAUUGCCAUGUAAAUAUAAUUAAACAAAAAAAACAAAAUAUCAAUACUCAGAAUUAUAAACAGAAAAAAAAAAAAAAGUUUACAAAUCACUAUAGAAAAAAAAGAGUUAAUUUCAUAUAGGUCCCUACAAACAUAGAAAAUUAUAAAUAUAUUUCUACGAAAUUCAACAUUAUUCAUAUAUUUCUCUAUAAAAGUUUUAAUGUUUUCAAAUAUAUCUCUCUGAUUUGUUAUCGUUAAAGCGCUAUUUAUUUUAUAAGUAAAAUAAUUUUUUUACCAUCACAAAUAUAUCCCUUCAAAAGUUCUAACUGUUAAUUAAAAAAGUGGUAAAAAUGUCAAUUCACCUUAUUAACUAACUUGGGUUAAGUAUUUAAUUUGUGGUUAACUAAAUUUUUCUAACGGCAGAGAUGUAUUUAAAAAUAUUAGAACUUUUGUAAGAACAACAUAUGAAAGUUGAAUUUUGUAAGAAUUAUUUUGCAAUUUACUAUAUUUGUAGGGAUCUGUACGCAAUUAACAAAAGGAAAUUGAUUAAUCAGUAGAAGUAAGAAGUCCCGCUGCAAUAUGAAUGUUGCUAACCGGACCUAAUUGGGUGAUCUGAUUUUUUUUUUUUUUCUGUCUCAGGCACUCUCUUAUAUUUUGUGAAACUGAUGGUUAUUCUUCACCCGCAUGAACCUGAGAAAAUAGUAGGAUCGGUAUCUCUUUAUGUAGCGUUCGGAUCAACUUCUCGUCAAAGUCAUAUUAGAAUUCUAUUUAAUUUAAUUAGAUGAGAAAUAAAUUAGAUAUACUAUAUGAAGCAGUUUUAUAUAUAUUAGGAUUAAUUGUUAUUUAUAAUAAAUUUAAAUUUGAAUAUGAUUAAUUAUGUCACAUUUGUGGAUGACCAAGGACAUUCUCAUUGGAAUGUGUUUAUGGUUACUAUUCGACUAUUUAUCAUAAAAAAAAUACAUAGAAAAUGGAAGAACUUCAGUUUUUAAUUUACUAGUUCUUUAAAUAAAACAACACAAACAAGAAACUUCAGUUCGAAUGGCACUUAGAAUAGUAAUUUUCACUUGAAUUUAAUACAAUUUGAAACCAAAAUUUUUGGAUUAAAUAGCUUCCAAAUAGUAGUAGUAGUAAGACAUUCAACAGAAACUGGGCCAAACAGGCUGUGUCUUAAAAGACAUCUAACAUUCUAGGCAUUUUUAAAUGUGGAAUUUAAUAAAUUUAUUUUUGAAGAAAAUCCAUAUUUUUAAGAACGAUUUUAAUCCAAUCAUGGAUUGUUAUUGACAAAUCUGAUAUAUUGAAUUUAGUCCCGAUAUUCAUCGGAUUCUUUUUUUUCUUGGAGAGAGAAAUGCGCGCAGUAUGCUAUUCGUUUCGUUCAUUUUUAGAAGUGAAGUCAGUUUAAAAUACGAAGCAACUAAACUUCGAAUUUGAGACUAGUCAAGGAUUAGAAAGUUGAUAGCAAACACGAUUUAUUUACUUGGAUAGUAUUUUAGGAUUAAAACAUACCAAGACCUCCCCAACUAUACGCCAAUUUGAAAUAAUCAACAUUUCUCAACUUCAAUUCAUAUAUUUCAGUUAUUUUAGUUCGAUCCAAUUACUUAAACCUAAAAAUAAUAAUAAUUUUGCAGCUUAACCUUUUAAUUUUAAAAACUUAAACUAUUUGAUGAAAAUCCACCAAUUUCAAGCUUGAUUAUCAUUUUUUUUUUUGUUUUAUAUGACUAUAAUUCUACUAAGUAAAUGAUGAAUCUAAAUUAGAUUUUGUACUGCAAAAAAUCACCGCACGACGUAUUUCAAACAAACUACGGGUUUAGCAUCAAAACCAAAAUUUUUAAAAUUAUAUAAGUUGAAUCAAAACUGACCAUAUUUUAGAUAAAUUCUGCUCAUUUUCACAUUUUUGCCAUUUAACUUAAACCAACCAAAGAGGAUAACUAAAGAGGGGGAAAAAAUGAAAGGAAAAAAAAAAGUUAAAAAAAAAGGUGUGUGCAUGGAUGAAUGAAUUUUCCAUGCAUCUCAUCUUUUGUUCUAACCAUUUUUGGACCAACGCAAAUGAAAGGAUCCAAUGCAGGUUGGGGAAGAUGCGCUGUCCACGUCAGUGGUCCUCAGAGAAAGUGUUACCUGGACCCAGUCCACCACGUCAGCCGAAUUAUCAAUUAUAAUUUGUAACCUUUAAAUCUAAGAAUUAUAAAUUACACAGAUGAAAUCAUUAAGCUUGGCUUAAAUGAUGUUGGGCUAGUGUUAUCAGAAGAAUCAAUAGCUAUGCUGACCAUAUUUUUAAUAAGACAGAAUCGUAGCAGAAAAUUACAGCUUUUGCUUUUUAAAAUUCUGUGUUUUAUCAUUUGCGAAUGUUUUUUAAAAUUUAUUGGAGUUGAUUCUGCAAGCUGUGUAGAAACUGAGAAAGCUAUAUGAGGCCCGUUCGUUGUAGUUAUAAAUGCAUUAACAUUUUGAAAUAAAUAUAAAUUUAAUAUGGAUUUGAUGUAUUUGAAUUCAACUACAUCCAAAUUAGUAGCAUAGUUGAAACUAUACAAAGAGAUUCUAAGAAAUAAAAAAGAACAAUAAUAGUUUAAACAACGCUCAAAUUGGCGGUAAUUUCAACUACAGCAAUUGUAGAGAAUAAACUUAAACGAAAGAUAAACUUACAUAAAAUUAUCUUUUAUAAAGUGUAAUUUUAUUUUCUUAUAUAUAAAAUUGGAUUAAUUUAAUACAGAUUUCUGCAAACAUAGUGAAUGACAAAUAUAUAUCUCUAUAAAGUCAAAUUUUAGAUAUUGUCUCUACAAAAGUCCUGAUGUUUUCUAAUAUAUCCAUUCCGUUAGAAUCCGUUCAUAAAAUUUAGUUAACUAUAGGUUAAAUACUUAACCAUGGUUAGAUUUUGAUAUUUUUAUCUCUUUUUUAUUAUACUGUUAUGAUUUUUGAAGAAACAUAUUUGUGAUGGCGAAAUUACAAAUAUAAACCAUUCUUUAAAGUUUCUCUAAUAGUAACAAAUUAGAGGAAUAUCUUUGAAAAUAUAAGGAGUUUUAUAGAAACAAUAUAUGAAAGUUGAACUUUAUAGGAAUAUUUUUAUUAUUCUAGAUACUAAUAUAAAAUUAACCCUCUAAAAUAAUAAUAUUUAUAAAUAUGUAUUUUUAACUGUACUAUAUCUAUAAAACUAUGUACAGCCAAAUAACCUCUAAUAAAAUUUAGGUCGCCUCAAAAAUAUUGGUCUACGGUGUACCGAGCGCACGCAAUAAAAAUUUUUGCGGUGGCCCCCACACGCAAAGAGAGGCAAAGAGAGGCACGCAAUAAAAAUGCGGUGCAGUGGGGUUAGGGGUGGAAACGAGCCGAGCUCGAGCGAGCUUAUGUCAGCUCAAAUUCGGCUUGAAAUUAAUUUCGAGCCUAAAUCUAGGCUCAAGCUCGGCUUGAAAUUAAUUCGAGCCGAGCUCGAGCGAGCCUAAUUUCGAGUCGAGCCGAGCUCGAGCUCUAAACGAGCCGAUUGAAAUUCUUGACAUUAUAUAAUCAAUAGUUUAAUUUUUAUAGAACAUUACCUACAAUUUGAUGCAACAUGUCUAAUAGUUCAAAAUGCAAAAUAAUUGCAAGAAAUGUGAGCUAGGGUGACUGCCUGACUGGGUGAGGGUCUGAGGGAGAAUGAGAGAGAGAGAGAGAGGGGAAAAAAAAUAGGGAUUUGGAAAUUUGAAUGUUAUCAUGUUUUAGGGUUAUGUGCAACAGUGAAAGCCUGAAAGAGAGUGUGUUAGGUAAAUUUAGAGUUGGGCUCAAUUGCAUGGUUGUACUUGUUGGGUUUAUUUUAUGCGUCAACAAUAAUGGCCCAAAUUAAAUUAAAGCCUAUAUAUAAUUAAAAUACAUUAUAUAUAUAUAUAUAUAUUCGAGCUUUUUGAGCUUUUCGAGCCUAAUUCGAACGAGCUGAGUAAUACUCAAGCUCGGCUCAUUUAAUUUCGAGUCGAGCUCGAGUGAGCCGAAUAUCGAGCCGAACACGAGUCGAACGCGAGCCGGCUCGCUCGUUUGCCAGCCCUAGUCUAUAGCACUACUUUUAGUAACUUGGCUUUAGCAUGUAUAGAAAGUACGGAUCAAGCAUGUAAAAAUGUAGUAUGUUAUACUUUGUUGUUAUCUUGAUAUUAUAGUUAACAAAGAACAUGAAUCAAGCUACCUACUUAUGGGGUUUAUUAAGUCUCUUAAGCUAUGACGGCUUCCAACAGUAUAAUUCUUCAGUUUCGAUAAUCGGAUGUUAUAAAUCUUGUUUAACUUUUUCGAUUUUCAUUGUAAAUAAAUAUAGAUCGCUGAUCUUUGAUCUUAACUAAAAAAUUUAAAGGUGUACGACUCACACACAACACUUGCUGUGAGUUUUCUUUAUAUCCUUCAUACCUGUUGAAGAUAUGAGAAUAUUUGAUUUUUUCUCACCAGUAAUCACAGAAAUUUUUGCUAUCAUUUCUUCUGCAAUAUACUGUUACCCCUGACGAUGGAACAUGGCUGAUUUCGAUGCCUUUCUGGCAAUUUAGGGACUCCGCUUCACACUGCUGCCAAAGAGAGGAACAAGAAAGCCAUAAAAUUCCUGUUGGAGAACGGCGCGUUCUUGCCCCCUAACAUCGACGACCAACGCUUCAACCCGCCUCUCCACUACUGCCCGGGCCUCGAUUGGGCCUACGAGAUAAAGUGCCUGCAUGACGAUGGCCCGUCUGGCGAAACUUCUUGCAGUUCCGAGAGCUAAGUGAGUACCGAAACCGCCCACCCUUGGUGCUUCUAUCAUAGUAAUGUUGUCUGUGAAAGAACUCUCGAUGAUCGUUAUGUUUGUUCUCAAAUGGCUUGCUUGUCGGUAUUUCUGUGCCUUACCGGACACCUUUAGGGUUUCUACUCUGUAGAAAUAUUGUGCCUUCUUCUGUUUGCCUGUGUUUUAGCUGAGAAUGCUGCUGAUCAAGACAUUUAUUCUUAUGCUUGCUAUGUAUUUGUUGUUCUCGUAAAUGAUGAACUGAUAAAUAAAUAAUUAUUCAUGGAUUUGUUCCUAAAAUUUAUUUCUUUUAUUUCUGGACCAAAAUAAAAGGCAUACUUUUGUCAAGUUUCACAUUGGGUUUUUUUAUGUUUGUACAUAACAGAGUUUUCUGGUAACACUAAAUUUGAAUGCAGUAAAUUUCAAAGCAUCAAGAGGGUUUUUUUUUUUUUUUUUUUUUUUUUUUUUUUUUUUUUUUUUUUUUUUUUUUUUUUUUUUUUUUUUUUUUUUUUUUUUUUUUUUUUUUUUUUUUUUUUU
This 52257-nucleotide long non-coding RNA is filed under the name Ananas comosus (pineapple). RNAcentral describes it as "long non-coding RNA (ACOM_LNC031081)". The record is from RNAcentral. Lineage: Eukaryota; Viridiplantae; Streptophyta; Magnoliopsida; Poales; Bromeliaceae.